UUACAGUAACGGGUUUUUUCUUGCAGAUGCUCUCGUGCAGUUGCAAUGUGGAGGAAAUGUGGUUUCUACAUCAACCACCAAUGGAUCUGGGAUGUUUUCUAUUUUGUUGGAUCCUCUAAAUUAUAUUCUUUCCUCGGUAUUGAGCGACUGCAACCUGAAGGUCGAUACACCGCUGAUCAGCUGCAACUCCAGUCUCCCUGCUGUGGGUGGCCUCCUAUCACCCUUACAGUUCAUCGGGAACACUGCUCUAGGAGCCCUCCUGAGUGUUGCAAACAUCAUCCCUGCCGGAUUCCGAUUCGUGCCUUUAAAUUAAGGAGACAACUGUAGCUGAAGGCGGCAUUAUUAUUAUUAUUAGUAUGGCCAUUGCUAUGUACUACUUUAUAUGAAUAAGGCCGUUGUAAUAAAGGAAUAAAGGUCAUGAUUGGCCAUGCAUAAUCUACAUGUAAUAUAUUAUGAUGGGCCUUACUACAAAAAUAUAGCAAGUAAUUCGAUGCAAAUAAAACUAAAACUUGUUGCUAAAAACAUUUAGCAACAUAAUUAGCAUCACAUGAAGUAUUAUAUGCAGACUUGUUGUUGGUGAUUUUUCAGGAAUGAAUUUGUCCGUUGUUGAUUUAUCAACAAUGAAUUAUGUGUUGCUCACAAAUUAGCAAUGGCUUUUCCGAUGCUAAUAAAUCAGAAGAAUCUGUUGCUGGUUGAUUAAUACUUAAAAGUAUAUUUUUAUCAAGGUUUUAUAUCAUCAUUUUGCACUUAAAGUAUCAAUAACUCUUUAACUAAAACAUGUUUUAUAAUAAUAAUAUAAGAUACCUUUAAUUUAUGAUAAAUGUUCAUCUUAAAUGCAUGCCUAUCACAUAAAUAAAAGGAUUGAUUGAUGAGUUUAAGUAUUGAAAUUGAAAGGACAAAGAGAGGGCCAAACUUAGAAAAGAGAUGUUGGUGCCGUCCAAACUGGAACACUGUUCCGUAUUUAGCCCAUAUCUCGAGUUCUAGAAGUCCAAAUGACCUCAAUUUUUUUCCUGGUAGAUAAGACAAUUUCUUAGAACUUUCAUGGAUACAGGUGGUUCCAGUUCUAAUGUUAGAAAUGAUGUUUUAUUCAGACAAGAAGAUAAAGAUUUUCACCAGGUCAAGAGUUGGCCACCCACUCAACAAUUAGUAAUCAAAUCAAUAGUUUCAAAUUUUGGCCUAUAAAAGGAGGCAUUUGCCAUGCAUUUAGGCAUCUUGGUGUUCAUAUCAAGAUCAUGCUCUUGCUCUUUUUUUUUUUUUUUUUUUUGUAUUUUGUAAUGUUUAAGUUUUAUUUUAUGUUAUAUUAAUAUCUUGUUUAUGCUUUUCAUUUCCUUUCCUUUACUUAUAUAAUUAUAUUCUUAUCUUGUUUAUUUAUGUUUCUAUCUUUCAAUAUAUUUAUCUAAAUCUAUUAUGUUAAGGUGAAAAGGCUACACUAAUGAUGUAAGAAUAAAUAUAGUAUAAAUUCAAUAUAGACUUUAAUGCUAGAUACUAAUAUGUUUUAUAUUUAUUAUCUUGUUCACUCUUAAUAUUGUCGAUGUUGCUUGCAAGUGAUAAUGAGUGUAUGAUAUUAACAUAUAUAAUUAGCAGUAUAUUACUGACAAAGUUUAAUUAGUAUUACACAUAUAUAAACUUACUGAAUAAAAGGUCUUAACUCAUCACAGUUAAAUAGAACAUAGUUGUGUGCUUGUUUGAGCUCUAUUUUCGAAAAAUCUCUUCUUCUUACGACAUUUUUAGGUAUGGGUCGUCCAGUAUUGGAGAAUAUUGACAAGUUCCCACUGGAAAACACUUCACCGCCAUCAUCAUGCCGUGGAACGCGAUUUAUUCUUGUUCUUAGAUGAGGUUCGAAAUAGUAUGAGAUAAAUGUUGAGAUCUCCUCAACAAUAUAGGCCUCAUAUAUCGAAGCCUCAACAUGCGCCUUGUUCUUAACCUUUUUCUUAAGAUUAAACAAGUACAUGCAUUGAAUUAAUCAAGUAUUUUCAAUUAAAAAAACACAUAGAAAAUACUUUUAUAUAUGAAUUACAUUGCAACUGUAAUAUCUAACCAUUCGAAUGGGUACAUCCAUCUAUACUGGACCGGUCCUCCAACUUUUGCCUUGAACGGUAGAUAUAUAGGGAAAUGCUCCAUUGAGUCAAAAAAUGAUGGAGAGAAUAUCAUCUCAAGUUUACAUAGUGUCUCGACGAUAUUCGUUUGAAGCCUCUCAAUGUGCUCACCAUUCAACUUGCUGGAGCAUAUAUCUUUGAAGAAAUGACUGAUCUCCGUGAGUGCAUCCAAUAUUCCCUUUGGCAACAAAUCAUGAAAAGCUAAUGGGAUGAGUGUUUGCAUAAACACGUGGUAGUCAUGACUCUUUAUUCCAUACAAUCUGCAGUCCUUUAUAUUAACCAGCCUUGAUAUGUUCGGUGCAUGUUCAUCCAGAAAACGCAGACUCUUAAGCCAUUUGUAGACUAGCAGUUGUUCGUUUUUCUCUAACAUGAAGCUUGCUCUUGGUUUUGCGACCCGUGACUCAUCAUAAACCAACUCUAUAUUUUUACGGUUACAAUAUAAAUCUAUAUCCAAUCUAGCCUUGAUGUUGUCCUUUGUCUUCCCCUUCACAUCCAUGACGAUGUUGAAAAUGUUCUCAAACAAGUUCUUUUUGAUGUGCAUGACGUCAAGAUUAUGGCGAAGCAAAUUGGUCUUCCAAUAAGAAAGCUCUCAAAAGAUAUUUUGCUUUACCUAAUUAUGGGUCAAACCAAAACUAGAAAACUUUUGCUUACCUGAUUGAAGGCCAAACACAAUGUCACCGUACUCUGAUACAACAUCAUGCAAUUCUUCACCAGAAAGAUGCGGGGAUGCAACAUCUAUUUCAACUCUACCAACAAAGAAAUCUUUUCUGUUCUUUCUGUACCUGUGAUUAAGUGGCAAGAAGCGACGAUGAUAGUAAAAAAAAAAGCUUUACCUCCGUUUGCUAGCGUGAAUGCCUUGUUGUUUUCCAUGCAGUAUGGACAUGCGAGUUUUCCAUACGUGCUCCAACAAGAAAGCAUUCCAUAAGCUAGGAAAUCAUUGAUACUCAACAUCAAAGCUGCCCUCAUAAGGAAAUUUUAUUUCCUCGAUAUAUCAUAAGUCAGAGCUUCGGAGGACCACAACUACGCCAACUCAUCAAUCAACGGUCGUAGACAAACAUCUAUAUUCCACCCCGGGCUACUUGGAUCGAGUAUGAUAGUAGAUAAAAACAUGAACUCCGGCCUCAUACACAUUCCCGGUGGCAAGUUAUAAACUGUGAGUAUGACCGGCCAACAAGAAUAAGGAGCAAUAAAUGAACCAAAUGGGUUGAAUCCGUCUAUACACAACCCAAGACGCACAUUUCUUGAUUCAACUAAAAAGUGAGGAUGCACACUGUUAAAGCGUUUCCACGCUUGCUGUCAGAAGGAUGCACCAUCACACCAUCAACCGCAUCAUGUGCUUGGUGCCAUGUCAUGUGCUCAGUAGUCCUUGGUGACAUGAAUAACCUCUGCAGUCUAGGUGUGAUCGUGAAGUAUCUAAGUUUUUUAUAUGCCGUUAGAGUCUUUCCCUUGCCAGUUCUGGGUUUGUAAUGGGAAUGCCCGCAUGUCAUGCACUCGGUCAUCUGAGCAUUUUCAAGGUAGUGUAACAUGCAGAAGUUAAGACAUAUGUCAAUUUUCUGGUAUCCUAAACCGAGGGGUUUCAUUAUAGACUUCACAGCAUAAAAGUAAUCUUUCAGCCUGUUCCCUUCAGGUAAAAUGCUUCUCGCCCAUUCAGUAAUUUUGUCAUACCCAGCCUCACUCAACCCGUGAUCUGACUUGAUGGUGAACACCUGUGCCACGACCGAUAAUUUAUUAUGGUUUGUGCAGCCAUCCCAUAAUGGUUCGUCAGAAUCUUUCAACAAAUAAAAAAACCUAGCUGUAUCUGCAUUAGGUUCUUCUUCUACGAUUGGACAUUGAAUUACCGACUGAAUUACAGACAUAAAAAGUUCCAUCGGUAAUUUCGACUUUAAAUUAUCGACAGAAAUAUUCCGUCGGUAAAUCCGUUGCUAUUAAGCGAAUUUCUGGCAGUGAAUGAUAUGCUUUGCUAUUAGUUCUAACAUGACAACUAACAAAACUAUCACACCCAACAAAAAAAGAUAUAAAAUCAUGUUAAAGAAUUAUCUCAACCCAAUAACUUAAGUUGUUAUGUAAAGUUUUAAGAUAUAAUUUAUAUUAUUAUCUAACACACCCUCUCAAAUGAAAACAUUUUGGGUUUGAAACUUGCACAAACCCAUAUUACCUUGUGCUUAAUUUUUAUCAAAUAAAUAGAGAUGGUGAGAUUCGAACUCGUAAUUACUUAAUUAUCAAGGCUAUAAUACCAUAUCAAAGAACCAUCUCAACACAAUAACUUAAACUAUUAUAUAAAAUUUCAAGAUAUAAUUUAUAUUACUCUCUAAUCAAUUUCGAUAUUAUUUACAUGUAAGGGCAUAUUGUAUUCUGAAUGCCCCACGGAGACAGAAAGAGUUGGAAGAAAAAAGGCUAGAAGCUAGAUGCUAGAGCAUGGAGCUAUGGACCAAUCUAUGAACUUUUCAGCCACGCAGAGCAAGUUGUUGUUUGGAGCCCCUUCUACUUUAUAAAUUCUGAAGAGGCAAGAAAAAGAAGACUUUCAUCUUUUUUCGAGAGACAGAAGGCAUGCUAAUGAAACUAGGGGUGGGGGAGUUUUGUAGGUGAAGACCACAGAUGAAGCACACAGGGGAAGGAAGAAUUAGAGCUUCGUGACAAACCUAAGAUUUUUGAAUUGUUCUCUUUCUUUUCAUGGUCAUGCAGCAGAUUAUCCUACGUAAACUCACCAUCACCACAAACAAGGAAGAGAUAAGAGAGCUGUUAGUCAGCAAAAUCUGCUGCAACUUGGUCUCCCUUGUUCUAUAAAUGGGCUGAUGUCGAGACUCAAAAAUCACUUCAAUUUCAAGAUCAAGAUUGAGUUUAUACACUAAUUCUUGCAUUAAUAUCAGUACUACUGCCAUUGAGACCAUGGCCUUCAAGACAUUUCUCUUUGUUUCUCUCGUGAUUGCUGCAAUAUUGGCAGCCCCAGUUGCUGAAGCUCAGCUUGGGCUUAUUGGCGGUCUUCUGGGUUUGAUCCGCAUCCAAGGGACUCUAUUUUGCACUGCCGAUGGCAAUAUUGGUGCUAAUGGCACAGCAACCCCUGUUUUCCCUAGUAUGCUUGCCCUGAUUCCUCUUCCUUUUCUUUUCUUUUUCUUUUGAUCGAUAGUAAAGUAUCCUCGGACCAGAUUGAUUGUCAUGAUUACAUAGUUACCAUUCAUCACAUACGACAUCGUCGAAUGCAAUUUGACUUUGUUCUUCUUCUUAUCUUGCUUAUAAAGUUGUAAUUACAGUAACGGGUUUUUUCUUGCAGAUGCUCUCGUGCAGUUGCAAUGUGGAGGAAAUGUGGUUUCUACAUCAACCACCAAUGGAUCAGGGAUGUUUUCUAUUUUGUUGGAUCCUCUAAAUUAUAUUCUUUCCUCGGUAUUGAGCGACUGCAACCUGAAGGUCGAUACACCGCUGAUCAGCUGCAACUCGAGUCUCCCUGCUGUGGGUGGCCUCCUAUCACCCUUACGGUUCAUCGGGAACACUGCUCUAGGAGCCCUCCUGAGUGUGGCAAACAUCAUCCCUGCCGGAUUCCGAUUCGUGCCUUGAAAUUAAGGAGACCACCGUAGCUGAAGGAGACAUUAUUAUUAUUAGUAUGGCCAUUGCUAUGUACUACUUUAUAUGAAUAAGGCUGUUGUAUUAUACGUGUGUACUGUUUAUUGUUUUUUCUUGCUUCCCAAGGAAUAAAGGUCAUGAUUGGCUAUGCAUUAUAUAUAUGUAAUAUUUUAGCGAGUCUAAAUUACGAGGGGCCUUACUAAAAAAAACGUAGCAAGUAAUUUUGAUGCAAAUAAAACUAAAAUUUGUUGCUAAAAACAUUUAGCAACAAAAUUAGCAACAUCGGAAGUAUUAUAUGCAGAUUUGUUUUUGUUGAUUUUAUAAUAGAGGAUUUGUCGGUUGUUGAUUUAUCAGUAAUGAAUAAUCUAUUGCUCACAAAUUAGCAAUGGAUUUUCCGUUGCUAACAAAUUAGAAUAGUCUGUUGCUGGUUUUUUGAAUUAUUUACAAUCAACAACGAAAAAUCCGUAGCUAAUUAUAUGAUUUUUAUUUAAUUAAUAUAUAUAUAUUUUUAUCCAAAUGACUUUUAAUUUUUUAAUUUAUUAUUUAUGGAUAUUUUGAAAGUUGUAGAAUAUAUAUAAGAAACAUAAAUUAAUAUUUAAAAUUACUUUAUCACCAAUAAUAAAUGGAAUAAAAAUAAAAUUCAUAAUAUAAGUAAAAAUUUAGUUAAACUUACACUAAUGCAAAUAAGUCAAAAUACAAUAAAAAGAUACAAUUAUGGUGCUUGUUGUGGAGAUGAACCAUGAUAUUGUGGAUCAACAUAAGAUGAAUUAUGACAUGAUGGUCGAGGUGUAGGUCAAUAUAUUGGUGGAGAUGUGGGAUCCAUAGGUGUCAUUUUAUGGGGAGCCAUAAGUGCUGGCAUACCUUGGCCAAUGUUUGAUGUCCCACCAUGAUAUCCAAGAUUGUUCAUAAGAUAUUCUUUCAUAGAAUCCAUCUGUCGUUUCAUUUCAAAAAUAAAAUCAUCUCUUUUCUUUAUCCCGCUUCUUUUUUCUUUAUCUCCUUUUGCAAUGCUCGAUAAGAUGAAUUAGGAUAUUGUGACUUCACCGAGUAGGAAUGUGAUGAAGAACUUGUAAUCACUAUAGAUUUUGGCAUACGAGGUGCACUAUAUACCCUACCCUUUGUAACUCCUCCUGAAGCCACACACCAAGCUGCUCCAUCAAAUGAAGAAUGAUUUUUCCUAUUAGUUCCGUACUUUGAAAUCAUCUCCUUCUUAUCAUUUUCCUUAAAAAUAAAAUACAUACAAUAAUAAAUUCAUUUGAAUGUUAAAUAGUAUUUAAGUUAUAUAAAUAAAUAAAUAAAAAUACAUACAAUCACUUUCUUAGACUUGCUAUUUACAAAGAUUCUAAACUGCUUAGUACUUUGAUGCAAAGCUGAAACGACAUCAUCUCAUGAAGGUUUUUUUUCUACCAACUUGCUUUUGCUAGGAAUUAUGAAAGAACAUGUCCAUCAUGAACUCUCAUAAGUCUCUCAUCAUUUUGACAAUAUCUUGCAUUGGACUGUGUAAUUCAACACCUUCGAUGCGGACCUGGAUUUCGGGUAGAAAUCAUGAUGCUAUUUUAUGACAUGGAAAACAAAAUUAGGGUAUUUUUUUAAACCUUUAUGAACUCUCACAACUCUCACAAGGCUCUCACCAUUUUGACGAUCUUUUGUAAUGGACUGUGUAAUUCAACACCUUCAAUUCAGACCUGGAUUUUAGCUAGAAAUCUUGACGCUAUUUUAUGAUAUGGAAAACAAAAUUAUGUUUUAAUUAUAUAUAUAUGGGUCCCUGCAUUCUUCAUUAUGUUUAAAAACUUCCCCAUCCCUUUUUACCUCACUUUUUUCUAGUUUUGAUCAAGGUUGUCAAUUUCGUUCUGUUUUGUUUGGAAUCACCGAAACAUUUCAUAUCUAUUAAAAAACAUAACAAAACAGAACAAGUUUCAUCUUAUUUUAAAUCUCGGUCCAUUCCGGAGUUUUUGACUAAAUUUUGACUGGAAUGUUCCGGUUUCAUUCCACAUAUUUCAUUCCGGUCUUGAAAAGCCAUUGAAUCAAAUUGAAUCUGGUUCAAUUUAAUUAAUUAAACCACCCAAGUAUAAAAAGCUUUUUUUAAUUACUAUUUUCAAUAACAAUGAUAUUAAUAAUAAUAUUGAAAAUUAUUAUUACUAUUUUCAUUAACAAUGAUAAUAAAUUUUUAAAAUUAGAUUUAUCACUAAUAUAUAUGGUUUAUUUUCAUGUUUUUUUUUCAUGUUUAUACUUUGGAGAAAUUUGAGCAAAACAAGGGAUGCUUUAGAUCCCAUUAGCCUCGAUAACGUUGAACUACUUUAUAUGUAAAAUAUUGGUAUUAAAACAUUUUACUUUCAUAAUAUUUUGAUAUUUUGUUUAAGUUAGUUGAGAAUAAUGGAAUGUGUUGGGUUGUGCCUUAGCCAACCCUCCUAUUUAUAUAGAGGCAGCAGAACACUGCAGUAACUAUAAUGAUUACAACAUCCUAUAUUACUUUCCUAUCCUGAUAGAUACAUGAGUAACUGUAAUGAUAACAACAUCCUAUAUUAAUUUCCUAUUCUACAAUAUGCCCCCUCAAGUUGAGGGUGGGGGAUCAACUCGAAGCUUGAACCGAAAAGAAGUAAAGGAUGCAACAGGAAGCGGUUUAGUGAAGACAUCGGGCAAGUUGAUCCCGAGAGGGAACAAAAUGAAUCUGAAUUUCUUUCUUGGCAACACGGUCACGGACAAAGUGAUAAUCCACUUCAACAUGCUUUGUACGGGUAUGGAAGAUAGGAUUUGCUGAGAGAUAGGUAGCACCAAGAUUAUCACACCAAAUGAUAGGAGCAGAGACUGAGGGAACCUGCAAAUCUGUUAACAAGUAUUGAAGCCAAAUGACUUCAGUGGUACCAUCAUCAAGGGCUUUAUACUCAGCCUCAGUAGAGGAGUGAGCAAUAGUGCGUUGCUUGCCGGAUUUCCAAGAAAUCGGCGUCUGACCAAAAAAGACAAGAUAGCCGCCCGUAAACUUGCGAUCAUCAAUACUACCAGCCCAAUCUGUAUCUAUAAAGCCAUGUAGAGCAAAAGAGGAGCCUUGAGUGAUAUGGAAACCAUAAGAUGUCGUACCUUUAAGAUAGCGUAAAAUACGUUUGACAGCGGCCCAAUGAGAAUAUGUAAGAGCAUGCAUAAACUGACAGACUCUGUUAACAACAAAGCAUAUAUCUGGACGGGUGAAGGUAAGAUAUUGAAGAGCACCCACGAUUUGAUGAAAUCGUGCAGGAUCAGAGAAUGGAUGAUCCGAUAAUAAAAUGACUUUCGAAGGGGAGACUGAAGUAUCAACUGGUUUGCAGGAAGUCAUACCAGCUCGGGUGAGGAUGUCAAGAAUAUAUUUAUGUUGAUGCAGCAUUAAACCCAUACCGGUAGACUGAACUUCAAUACCUAGAAAGUAGUGAACAACACCUAAGUCACGAAGCUUGAACUCAGAGCUGAGUAACUGUAUAAGGUGAUGGAGCAUAACAGAGUUGCUACCCGUGAGCAGAAUAUCAUCAACAUACACCAGGAGAUAAAAGAUAUUGGUACCAUCAGAUAAGAUAAACAGGGAGGUGUCAACCUUGGAAGCUUGGAAAUCGACGGAGAGCAAAAAAUCACUUAGACGAGUGUACCAUGCUCUCGGUGCCUAUUUCAAACCGUACAAUGAUUUGUGCAAUCUGCACACAUGAGAUUGAAGAGAAGAGUCAACGAAACCUGGAGGCUGUUUCAUGUAGACCUCUUCAGUAAGAACACCAUUGAGGAAGGCAUUAUGAAUAUCAAGCUGAUGAAUCUUCCAAUUUCGCGAAACCGCGAUAGAGAAAACUAAUCGUACAGUGGCCUGCUUAAUAACUGGACUAAAGGUUUCAGAAUAAUCAAUACCUUCCUGCUGGGUAAAACCUCUAGCAACAAAGCACGCUUUAUAGCCCUCAAUACUACCAUCAACACGAUGUUUGAUCCGAUAUACCCAUCUACUGCCAACAACAUUCAUCGAAGGAUAAAAUGGAACCAAAGACCAAGUGUGAUUUUCGCGUAAAGCGGCGAUCUCAUUACACAUAGCAUUAUGCCAAACUGCAUACCGGUCAGCAUCAGAGAAUGAAAAAGGCUCAGAAGAGGGAGAAUACAGUACCCGUGGAGGUAGAAGUAGUGGCAGCGGAAGCAACCAGAUUAGCUGUCUUCGGCUGCCGCGGUCUAAGAGUCAUAAGAUGUCUGUUGUGUGCUUGUGGAGACGCAGGGGAAGAUGGUUGUAGUGAGGAGACCUGUGGCAGCUGAUAAAAAGACAAAUCAACCAUAAGUUGCAGACCAGCGGGAGAUGAUGAUAAAGAAGCAGCCUCAAGCACAGGACUGUCAGUAGAGGAGGGGCUGAAAGCAGAGUUUAAAGUUGCAGGAGUGCUGGCUAGGGAGGGCGAAGUAGAGGAGGGACUAGAAAGUGCCCCAAGACCAUGAGGAGAGGAGACCAAUUGACGAUCUGAACCUGCAUCAUAAGGGUUAGAUAAACAAGCAUGGGAUGAUGGCCAAGGGAUGGGUGGAGGCUGUGGUCGGGUGGCUGUUUGGAGUGGUAGAGCGGAGUGUUGUGGGCUGUUUGGGUGGCUAGUGAAAGUGGGUGGCGGUGGGUGGUUUAGCAAAUUUGGGAGGGUGACAGUAGCGGGUGGGGUGGGGGUUGUGGUGGAGACCUUUGCAAUCUGUUCAGAAUUAUCAAAUGGAAACACAUGUUCAUGGAAGCGGACAUGGCGAGAAAUAUAAAUACAAUGAGAUGCAAUGUCAAGACAUCGAUAAAUAAUAUGCGAGGAACUAUAUCCAAAAAACACACAUGGAGAGGAAUGAAAAUCCAAUUUAUGAUUAUUAUAUGGAUGCAGAAAAGGAAAACAGAGACACCCAAAGGUACGCAAAAAAUGAUAAUCAGGAGACCGUUGAAAUAAACAAUCAAACGGAGAGCGAUGGGCAAGAACAGAAGUAGGCAUGCGAUUUAUAAGAUAAACAGAGGUUUCAAAAGCAUAAUUCCAGAAUCGAAAAGGUGUUUUACAUUGCCCUAAAAGAGUAAGACCUGUCUUAUGACGACGCUCUACUGUUCCAUUUUGUUCAUGAGUGUGGGGAUAAAUCAGACGAUGAUGAAUACCAAUGGUCUGAAAAAAAUAUGGAUAGUUUUUGGUAUUCACCGCCCCAAUCAGUUUGAACAUAUUUUAAACUUUAAUGAAAAUUGACGUUCGACAAGAGUUUGAAAUUGAUGAAAAACAGAGUAAACAUCAGACUUGGCAACGAGAGGAUAAUACCAUAUAUAUUUAGUAUAAGCACAACAAAGAUAACAAAAUAACAAUAGCCAUCUGAAGAAAAAAGAGGAGCAAGGCCCCAUACAUCAUUAAAAAUUAAUUCAAGUGGAGCAGAAGUUUUGUGACAUGUAGGUCCUAAAGACAAACGCGAUGAUUUUCCUAAAGGACAACUUUGACAUUGAAAAUUAAGACGUUUGUUGUUACAAAUGAUCUUAUUUUUCGAGAUUAACAAUUGAAAAAUACGUGAAGUAGGAUGACCUAGUCGACGAUGCCAUAAAUCGGUAGAGGCAGAAGUGCAGGGAGACCAAUAGGCUUGAGGAACUAACGUGAUGGAAGACUUGGUCAGGGUAUAGAGACCAUCUUUACUCUGACCUGAGAGAAGGACUUCAUGGGUGUUGAAAUCCUUGACAUAAAACACACGAGGGUGAAAUUCAAAAUAAACAUUAUUAUCAAGAUAAAAUUUCUGAACAGAGAGCAGAGGUUUUGUGAUUGCAGGAACAUGAAGAACAUUAGAUAAGGUGAAAGAACGAUGUGGUGUAUAUAUUUUUGUAUGACCAAGAUGAGAUAUAGGAAGGCCCUUACCAUCACCAACAUGCAAAUUAUCAUUACCAAGAUACGGUUCUGAAGCGGUCAAGGUGGCAAGAUCAGGUGUGACGUGUUGAUUGGCACCGGUAUCUGGAAACCAAUCAACAGAACCGGUUGAGGAGAGAUUGCGCUGCACCAGGUUGGCAGUAGGUUGUUGGCCAUAACCUCGCUGCUGGAAUUGAGGGCAAUGGGGAGCUGUAUGGCCGAAAUUCUGACAUAGUUGGCAGCGUGGAUUCUGCCCCUAUUGCGCUGCAAGAGCCCUGCCUAUUGUCACGAAGGAGGAGUUUUGGAAGCUGCGGUGAUCAGGUCUGGAGCCAGCAAAUCGGUUGCCUGCUGUUGGACUGGUUGACGCCAGCCACCGUUGAAGCGGCCCCUGCUGCGGCCAGAAUUGCCAAAAGUCUGGCGCUGCGCAACAAGAGCAGAAGAUGGAAUGCUGGGUGUGGGCAGCAGAGGAGCAUGUAUGGCAGCAAGAUUUGUGAAGAAAUUCAUGUGUGAGGAGAUGGCUGUGAAGAUCUGCAUAUGAUAAAGGUUCAGCCUUGGUAAUAAGACUGGUAACUAAGUCUUUAAACUCUCCCCGAAGACCACGAAACACAUAUAAAUUGAAAUCUUCAAGCGAAACUGGCCGACCACAGCGACCAAUUCAUCAAAUAAGGCCUUCGCUUUUUGCAUAAAUUGAGUUACUGAUUCAUCACCCUGUCGAAGAUCCUGAAGAGAGCCGUGAAGUUGCAUAAUACGAGAGUUGGAGGUGGAAGCGAGAGCUCGCUCAAGAGUGCCCCAAGCUGAACAAGAACUUUGACAGCCAACAACAAGAUGCAAAACUUCUAAUAGAUAGGGAGGAAAGAAGAGCACUUAGAAUGAGUUGGUCCUGCUGUUUCCAGGUUUGAAAAAGCGGAUUUACCUAAAGAGAGAUACCAUCAUGGGCAAGAACAUGUGUUGAUGGACAUGUGUUGGAGCCAUCAACAAAACCAAAAACUCAUUCGCCUAAGAGAUAAGACAACAUCUGCAUACGCCAAUAUAAAUAAUUGGUGUUUGUUAAUUUGAGGGAGAUGACUUAAUCAGUGUGAGAAAGGGAGAUAAUGCUUGCGGCAGUAGAGGCAGCAGACAUGGGCUGCAAGAGGAGGCGUUCACCAGCCAUGGCAGAGGAGAAUCCAGGCGGUGACGCAGUAAAGGAGGCACUGCAAGAGAAGAGGGAUGCACUGCCGGAGAAGAAGAAAACUGGACUGCUGGUGCUGCAUAAUUUGAAGAUGUAUGUGGCGGCUGUUCCAUUGAAGAAGGGAGGCUGAGAGGCUGUGAGAAAAGUAGGUUUAAUUUAUUUUAGGGUUUUGUGGCUCUGAUACCAAGUUGAGAAUAAUGGAAUGUGUUGGGUUGUGCCUUACCAACCUUCCUAUUUAUAUAGAGGCAGCAGAACACUGUAGUAACUGUAAUGAUUACAACAUCCUAUAUUACUUUCCUAUUCUGAUAGAUACAUGAGUAACUGUAAUGAUAACAACAUCCUAUAUUAAUUCCCUAUUCUACAAUAAAGUUAAAUUACUUUAAGUUAAAGAUCUAUUUAAUUUUGAUUAUUUAAAAAAAAUUUAAAAUUUAAAAUUAUAUUUGUUUGACAUUGUGUUUGUAUUGCAUAAUUUAUAAUUAAUUUAUCUUGAAUUUGAAUUAUGUUUGUUGAAUAUAUAUAUAUAUAUAUAUGAACAGUGUAACUCUGAAACGACACGCCGAAACAUUCCAUUCCAAUUAAAAAAAAAAACAAAACACCUAUCAAAACGGAAUUGAAAACCUUGGUUUUGAUUGUAUUUCCAAUUCAAAUAGUAAUUUAUUUGUAUGAAAAGGACUUUUUUUGCUAUCAUUUCUUCUUCUUCUGCGUUCCAUUAUUAUUUAUUUCAAUUUUUAUAAUUUUUAUUGUACAAUUCAAAUUUUGUUAGUGUUCUAAUGUUGUAGACUUAACGAUAAUAUUUAACAUUGUUAACAUGUAAUGAAGAUAAAAAUCAAACCUGCAAAGAUUAAAAUUAGUGCAAAACCAGGUAGAAUAUUUUAAACACAAAACCAGGAACAUGUAACUUAAAUGAACAAUUAAUAGUUGGAAUACCUGAAUUUGAAUCCCUUGUCCUAAAACAUAUAAAAAAAAAUAGCAAGUGGAAUUAGGGAUAUUAAUAGAUAAUGAGGAGGGUUUUAUAUUUGGGAUGACAAUUUAAUCCGAACUCGAUAGAUACCAACCUGAUUUGAAUGAAUGAAUAUACCAACCAGGGUUUUAUAUUUUUGGACUUGAUGGAUAAUGAAUAGGGUAUGGAUGUUAUGAAACACGACCAGAAACCUGUCCAAACCUAAUGUGGAAUAUAUUUUUAUAUUAUAUAAAUAUAUUUUUAAAAUAUUUAGAUUUUUUAAUACAAUAUGAUACAUACAUAUCUUGGUAUUGACAUAAUACACACUUACAUAUAAACUUUUUUAUUUUUUAUUGAUUAAUAAAUAAUAGUAGAUAGUAGAUGAUUAUUUGAUACCUGAAACUCGAUGGAUAAUGAGUAGAGUAUGGAUAUCAAGAAAUCCAACCCGCGAGUACAUUUUGGCAUCCCUGUUUUAUACCAUCUGUACCCGAAUCCAAAUCUAAAAUAACUAGUCGAGUCUGAACGGGUAUGGAUUUUUUAUACACGAACUUGAAUGCUAUAUUUUACAGCUAUUUAGUACAUAAUUAGCUUGCUAUACAUAUAAUUUUCUCAAACUUUAAUAUUAUUUAUUGAUUUCAGGGCAGGUUCGGGUAGACCAAUAUCAUACUAUACUUGGACCUGACUUUUUGCAUUUGAAUUUUACUCGAAACUCAAUUGAGUCUAAAAAAUUUCUAUUUGAAUCGAUUCGAGUUAGUAUCCAUAGGUAAAACUGUCAUCAUAAGUAUAAUCCAAAUACCAUAAUCUUUGGCAAUGAUAUGCUUUGCUAUUAGUUCUACCAUGACAACUAACAAAACUAUCACACACAACAAAAAAAAGCUAUGAAAUUAUGUUAAAGAGCCAUUUCAACCCAAUAACUUAAGUUGUUAUGUAAGGUUUCAAGAUAUAAUUUAUAUUAUUUUAUAAUAAAUCUGAUAUUAUUUACGUUUAAGGGAAUCUUAAUGCCCUCACUGAGAAGCUAAGCAGAGGCGAGAACCGGGCGACAGAAAGAGUUGGAAGAAAAAAGGCUAUAAGCUAGAUGCUAGAGCCUGGAGCUAUGGACCGAUCUACGAACUUUUCAGAGGAAGUGGAGACGAACAAUUCUAUCGGAGAACCCCCAAGUUUCAGCUACGCAGAGCAAGUUGUUGUUUGGAGCCCCUUCUACUUUAUAAAUUCUGAAGAGGCAAGAAAAAGAAGACUUUCAUCUUUUUUCGAGAGACAGAAGGCAUGCUAAUGAAACUAGGGGUGGGGGAGUUUUGUAGGUGAAGACCACAGAUGAAGCACACACGGGGAAGGAAGAAUUAGAGCUUCGUGACAAACCUAAGAUUUUUGAAUUGUUCUCUUUGUUUUCAUGCUCAUGCAGCAGAUUAUCCUACGUAAACUCACCAUCACCACAAACAAGGAAGAGAUAAGAGAGCUGUUAGUCAGCAAAAUCUGCUGCAACUUGGUCUCCCUUGUUCUAUAAAUGGCUGCUGAUGUCGAGACUCAAAAAUCACUUCAAUUUCAAGAUCAAGAUUGAUUUCAUACACUAAUUCUUGCAUUAAUAUCACUACUGCCAUUGAGACCAUGGCCUUCAAGACAUUUCUCUUUGUUUCUCUCGUGAUUGCUGCAAUAUUGGCAGCCCCAGUUGCUGAAGCUCAGCUUGGGCUUAUUGGCGGUCUUCUGGGUUUGAUCCGCAUCCAAGGGACUCUAUUUUGCACUGCCGAUGGCAAUAUUGGUGCUAAUGGCACAGCAACCCCUGUUUUCCCUAGUAUGCUUGCCCUGAUUCCUCUUCCUUUUCUUUUUUCUUUUCUUUUGAUCGAUAGUAAAGUAUCCUCGGACCAGAUUGUCAUGAUUACAUAGUUACCAUUCAUCACAUACGACAUCGUCGAAUGCAAUUUGACUUUGUUCUUCUUGUUAUCUUGCUUAUAAAGUUGUAAUUACAGUAACGGGUUUUUUCUUGCAGAUGCUCUCGUGCAGUUGCAAUGUGGAGGAAAUGUGGUUUCUACAUCAACCACCAAUGGAUCUGGGAUGUUUUCUAUUUUGUUGGAUCCUCUAAAUUAUAUUCUUUCCUCGGUAUUGAGCGACUGCAACCUGAAGGUCGAUACACCGCUGAUCAGCUGCAACUCCAGUCUCCCUGCUGUGGGUGGCCUCCUAUCACCCUUACAGUUCAUCGGGAACACUGCUCUAGGAGCCCUCCUGAGUGUUGCAAACAUCAUCCCUGCCGGAUUCCGAUUCGUGCCUUUAAAUUAAGGAGACCACUGUAGCUGAAGGCGGCAUUAUUAUUAUUAGUAUGGCCAUUGCUAUGUACUACUUUAUAUGAAUAAGGCCGUUGUAAUAAAGGAAUAAAGGUCAUGAUUGGCCAUGCAUAAUCUACAUGUAAUAUAUUAGCGAGUCUAUAUUGUGAUGGGCCUUACUAAAAAAAUAUAGUAAUUCGAUGCAAAUAAAACUAAAACUUGUUGCUAAAAACAUUUAGCAACAUAAUUAGCAUCACAUGAAGUAUUAUAUGCAGACUUGUUGUUGGUGAUUUUUCAGGAAUGAAUUUGUCCGUUGUUGAUUUAUCAACAAUGAAUUAUGUGUUGCUCACAAAUUAGCAAUGGAUUUUCCGUUGCUAAUAAAUCAGAAGAAUCUGUUGCUGGUUGAUUAGUACUUAAAAGUAUAUUUUUAUCAAGGUUUUAUAUCAUCAUUUUGCACUAGAAAUAUCAAUAACUCUUUAACUAAACCAUGUUUUAUAAUAAUAAUAUAAGAUACCUUUAAUUUAUGGUAAAUGUUCAUCUUAAAUGCAGACCUAUCACAUAAAUGAAAGGAUUGAUUGAUGAGUUUAAGUAUUGAAAUUGAAAGGACAAAGAGAGGGCCAAACUUAGAAAAGAGAUGUUGGUGCCGUCCAAACUGGAACACUGUUCGAUAUUUAGCCCAUAUCUCGAGUUCUAGAAGUCCAAAUGACCUCAAUUUGUUUCCUGGUAGAUAAGACAAUUUCUUAGAACUUUCAUGGGUACAGGUGGUUCUAGUUCUAAUGUUAGCAAUGACGUUUUAUUCAGACAAGAAGAUAAAGAUUUUCACCAAGUCAAGAGUUGGCCACCCACUCAACAAUUAGUAAUCAAAUCAAUAGUUUCAAAUUUUGGCCUAUAAAAGGAGGCAUUUGCCAUGCAUUUAGGUAUCUUGGUGUUCAUAUCAAGAUCAUGCUCUUGCUCUUUUUUUUUUUUUUUGUAUUUUGUAAUGUUUAAGUUUUAUUUUAUGUUAUAUUAAUCUCUUGUUUAUGCUUUUCCUUUCCUUUCCUUUACUUAUAUAAUUUUAUUCUUAUCUUGUUUAUUUAUGUUUCUUUCUUUCAAUAUAUUUAUCUAAAUCUAUUAUGUCAAGGUGAAAAGGUUACACUAAUAGUGUAAGAAUAAGUAUAGUAUAAAUUCAACAUGCACUUUAAUGCUAGAUACUAAUAUGUUUUAUAUUUAUUAUCUUGCUUACUCUUAAUACCUUACUUGUUAAAUGGUUAAUCUAGAUUUGUGUUGAACAACCCUUGGUACAACAAAUGCUUGGCACUUUCAUAGCCCAAUCAUAUGGUAUAACCUACACGUGUGCUAUGAAAGAAUUAGAAUUAAUUGAGAGAUAGUUUUGUGUUUAAUUGUGUUGGAUGCAUAAGAGUAGCAGCCAUCCUUUGUAUUUAUACUUGUAGGGUUGUGUACAAUAUAAUGGUGGGAUGUAUUACAUACUAUAACUAUUACUAUGUAGAAGUGUUUACAUUGAAUUCAAACUCUUUCCUUAAUACACCCCGUCAAUCUGAAGGUGGAGAUUCCACCCGAAGCUUGGAUCGAAAAUAAGCAAACGAGACUGGAUCGAGGAAGAGGCUUGGUAAGGACAUCAGCUAGUUGAUCUUUGGAAGAUAUAAACCGUACCUGAAUUUCUCGCUUAGUAACACGAUCACGGACAAAAUGAUAAUCAACUUCAACAUGUUUAGUACGAGCGUGAAAUACUGGAUUUGCAAUAAGAAGGUGGCCCCUAAAUUAUCACACCAUAACGUGGUCACAGUCGAAGAAGGAAUCUGAAGUUCUGUCAAUAAUGAGCGAAUCCACAAAAUCUCAGCAGUACCAUCAGCUAAGGCUUUGUAUUCCGCUUCAAUGGAGGAUCUCGCAACAGUGCAUUGUUUCCCGGAUUUCCAGAGAUAGGGGUAGAGCCAAGGUACACAAGGUAACCACCUGUGGAUUUUCGAUCAUCAAUACUACCUACCCAAUCAGCAUCUGUGAAACCAUGAAGAGACAGAGGAGAAUCCCUAGUGAUGUGCAGGCCAUAAGUUGCUGUAGCCUGGAGGUAACGCAAGAUGCGUUUGACAGCAAACCAAUGAUCCUCAGUGGGGGCAUGCAUAAAUUGACAGACCUUGUUGACCGCAUAACAGAUAUCAGGUCUAGUGAAGGUAAGAUAUUGUAAUGCCCCAACAAUUUAUCGAUACCGUGUGGGAUCAGAGUAGAGAGUACCUGGUAUGAGUCCUAAUUUGGAGGAGGCAGAUAGAGGAGUAUCAACUGGUUUGCAUGAAGUCAUACCUGCUCGUUUGAUGAUAUCGAGAGCAUACUUAUGUUGGCUUAAUAAGAUACCCAUAGCAGUAGGUUUAACUUCAAUGCUUAAGAAGAAAUGAACAGAACCCAGAUCCCGAAGCUUAAAUUCUGAUUGCAGCAAGGUAAUCAAUCUAUGAAGCAUAGCUGAGUUACUUCCGGUUAAUAAGAUAUCAUCAACAUACACAAGCAGGUAAAUCAUGGCACCAUCAUGAGAGAGGAUAAAUAGAGAAGUAUCACCCUUGGAUGCCUGAAAUCCAAUGGAUAGUAAGAACUCACUCAACCUGUUGUACCAAGCACGAGGGGCUUGUUUCAAACCAUACAGAGAUUUAUGGAGACAACACACAUGAGACGGGAGUGCCGGAUCAACAAACCCAGGCGGUUGCGCCAUGUAUACCUCUUCCUGAAGAAUGCCAUUUAGGAAAGCAUUAUGGACAUCCAACUGAUGAAUGGUCCAUCCAUAUGAAACAACGAUAGUGAGCACAAGGCGAACCGUUGUAGGCUUGAUCACUGGACUGAAUGUCUCCAAAUAAUCAAUCCCUUCUUGCUGAGUGAAGCCGCGGGCAACUAACCGUGCCUUAUAUCGGGCAACUUGACCAUCAACAUUUCUUUUUAUCUUGUACACCCAUCUACUGCCAAUCACAUUCAUAGUUGGAUGAAGAGGCACCAACGUCCAAGUCUGAUUAGAGUGAAGUGCCCGAAGUUCCUCCUGCAUGGCAGUGUCCCAAGUAACAUACCUGUUUGAGUCCUUAAAGGACAAUGGCUCCUGCUGAGGUAAGGUCGUGUCUCGUGAGACAGCCGCAAUGCUAAGAUUAGCAUUUCUUUCUGGCCGUGGGCGAAGCACCAUAGGAUGGGUGCGAGCCCGCUGAGAUGGGGAGGAGACAGCGGCAGGGACAUGCUGAAGAUUGAAUUUAGAUAGAUCAACACAUACGUUAAUUCCAGGAGGGGAAAGCGAGGAAGAACCUGUGGGUGAAGAACUCAAUAUAGGAGAAGACCGUGAUGGAGACCCAGCAGAAGAAGUAUCCAUAACAGGGGAGAAACCAUGGAGCUGGCAGCAACAUCGGAUGAUGCUUGUGAGUGUGACGAAUCUGAACCUGCAAUUGAAGAAUGAUCAUAAUAACAUGCAGAUAAUGGUAAAGUAGCCGAAGGAGGUGUAGGCAGUGAUUUAGAGAGUGAGGAGGGUUGCAUGAGAGGAAGUAAAGUGACGGGUAGAGAGGGAGCAGAGGGCUGUUUGGGUGUUGCUGCAAUCUGUUCAAUUUUAUCAAGAGGAAAAACAGUUUCAUGAAACCGGACAUGACGUGCAAGAUAAAUUCGUUUGGAUGACAAAUCAAGACAACGAUAACCGACAUGUGAGGUACUAUAUCCUAGAAAAACACAAGGUGUGGACCAAAAAUCUAAUUUGUGAGCAUUGUAUGGACGAAGAAAAGGAAAGAAGAGACACCCGAAAGUACGAAGAAAUGCACAAUCAGGAGUCGAUUUUAACAGACAUUCAAACGGUGUCUUAUUAUUAAGGACUGGAGUGGGCAUGCGAUUAAUUAAAUAAACAGAACUUUCAAAAGCAUAACUCCAAUAUUUAAGGGGAGCAUGACACUGACCAAGGAGAGUGAGUCCAGUUUCAACAAUAUGUCUAUGACGGCGUUCAACCAUGCCAUUUUGUUCAUAAGUGUGCGGGCAGAUCACACGAUGAUGAAUACCAAUCAUUUUAAAAUAUGUAUUUAGUUUUUGGUAUUCACCACCCCAAUCAGUUUGAACAAACUUAAUUUUUAAGGAGAAUUGGCGCUCCACAAGCGCCUGAAACUGAUGAAAAAUUGCAAGGAACGUCAUACUUAGCAACCAAGGGAUAAAACCAUAUGAAUUUUGUAUGAGCAUCCACAAAAAUAACAAAAUAGCGAAAACCAUCAGAUGAAAACAUAGGGGAUGGACCCCAAACAUCACUAAAAAUCAAGUCAAGAGGAGCUCGAGUUUGAUGACCCGUAGGUUUUAGAGUCAGACGCGAUGACUUGCCUAGAGGGCACGUAGGACACUGAAAAUUAAACUUAGUGGACAUACAUGACACUUUUUUAUUUUUCACUAGCAAAUGCAAAAUACGUGGACUAGGAUGUCCAAGUCAACGAUGCCAGACAUCAGCUGAAGUAGAUAGACAAGUAGAGGAAAAAGCUUGAGGCAACGAUGUUGCGGACGUCGCGGACAAAACAUAUAGACCAUCUUUACUCUGACCGGAAAGAAGAACUGCCUUUGUCAUGAGAUCCUUAACAUAAAAUAGAGAGGAAUGAAAUUCAAAAAACACGUUAUUCUCAAGAAAAAAUUUUUGAACAGAUAUCAGAGGUUUUUUAAUGGUAGGAACAUGUAAGAUAUUGGAUAACGUAAAAAUGCGGUUUGGUGAGCGAAUUUUGGAGUGAGCAAUAUUUGAGAUAACAAGGCCCUUACCAUCACCAACAUGCAGAUGAUCAUUUCCAAGAUAAGGUUCUGAACUCGUCAUACUUACAAGAUCCGGCGUGACAUGAUGAUUUGCACCUGUAUCAGGAAACCAAGUAACAGGAGUGGUGGAAGGGGCAGUAUUAAAUGCAAGAUUAGCAUUAGCUUGCAUAUGAUGAGUAGCCAACUGAGAACACUGUUGAGCAGUAUGCCCAUAUUCAUAACAUAGCUGACAUUUUAUGUUGCGAGGAUAGCCACCAAAACGAUUUCUUGCUGCCCAAAAUUACCUGUUGGCCGUGAAGAAGAGCCAGAUGAGAACCGGUUCCCAUGUGAGCUGUAUUGUUGUCCUGAAGUAUAAGUGUUUGCUAGUCCAUUGCCACGAUAAAAAUUGAAUGCGAUUGUUAGGUCUCCAACCCCCACGAAAACGCCCCCGUCUGCCAGAUUGAUGCUGCACAAAGAACGCAGCUGGUUGCUGCGUUGGAGUAGGUAAUAGAGGGGCUGUUACAGAUGGCUGGAGGGAGGCUUUGUGAAGGAACUCAUGUGUAAGAAGGCUACUAUGGAGAUCAGUAUAGCUGAUGGGGGCAUCAUUUGUGGAGAAGCCGGUGACAAGAUCUUUAAACUCACUGCGCAAUCCGCGAAAAACAUACAGAUUAAAUUCUGCCAGGGAGAUUGGUCUACCAGCGGCAGCCAAUUCAUCAAACAAAGCCUUAGCCUUCUGGAGGUAAAUGCUGGCAGAAUCAUCAUUCUGUCUUAGGUCCUGGAAUGAGCCGUGGAGCUGCAUAAUUCUGGAAUUUGAGGGAGAGGCCAGAGCUGUUUCUAACGUUGUCCAGAUUGCAUGUGAAGUGUUGCAAUCUACAACCAAGUGCAGAACUUCGACCGAGAGAGAAGAUAGGAGGGCACUCAUGAUGAGGUGAUCUUGCUGCUUCCAUGAUAAAAUAUGCCGGGUUGACAGAGAGUAUAGAUGGCUCAGCCGAUGCCAAAUGUGAAGGAGGACAUGGUGAUGUGCCAUCAACAAAUGAAUAAACACCUUGGCCCAAGAGAAAAGGUUUCAUCUGCAUCCUCCAAUACAAGAAAUUAUGGUUGGAGAGUUUUAAAGAAACUACCUGAUGUGUGUUAGGAAGAGAGAUAAUGGAGGCAGUAGGCGAUGCCCCAUACAUGACUGAUUGCUCUACAGGGGAGAAGGAAGAUUGAAGAGCUGAUACAGCGCCAGCAGAUUGUUGAUUGUCCAUGUUGCUAGGGAGAAGAAGUUUCAGUUUCUACUUCGUGAUAAGUGACAGAGGAAGGAGAUGAGAAGCUGCUGCUUUGUGAAUUAAACUGAGGAAGAACCGGCUGCUAAGAAGAUAGGAUGGCUGCUGGUUGCCAAAUAGCUACGCAGGAGAAUUUCAGCUUUUAAGGGAGAAGGCUGCUGAACAAUAACCGGUGCUCUGAUACCAAAUUAGAAUUAAUUGAGAGAUAGUUUUGUGUUUAAUUGUGUUGGAUGCAUAAGAGUAGCAACCAUCCUUUGUAUUUAUACUUGUAGGGUUGUGUACAAUAUAAUGGUGGGAUGUAUUACAUACUAUAACUAUUACUAUGUAGAAGUGUUUACAUUGAAUUCAAACUCUUUUCUUAAUAGAAAGGAAUUUAAUUUGUUGUUAACAUAAACUAUCACCAUGAAUACCUGAUAAUAUUUACAAGUAUUGGCAUUACUUGAAUAAGAUAAUUAAUAUAAUCAUGUUAAUAAUUUAUAAUCUGAUUGGAACCUCCUUUGUGUGUGGUUUUCAAUUGAGUAAUAAGAGUUUAUACUAUACUUGUUUGAAGUACCAUUAGUGGAUCCUCUAACCUUGACAUUUGUUUUUAUAAUUGUUUAAUCAUCAAAUUAAUCUUACAUCUCAAAGUCCUCUUUAUUAUUACUAUUACUAUUACUACUAUCAUUAUUAUUAUUAUUACUAUUACUAUUAUUAUUGUUGUUGUUGUUGUUAUUUAUAAUUUAUAUAGUUAACCUCUUUGUGGUUCGACCUCGGUCUUGCCGAGUUAUUUAUUACUUCGACACUCCUGCACUUGGGAGAAGACAUGAAUCUUUUGAUCGUGUCACUGGUUUUGUGAAUCAACCAUGGAUUUCCCAUUGAAUUAUUUACAAUCAGCAACGAAAAAUCCGUUGCUGAUUAUAUGAUUUUUAUUAAAUUAAUUUAUAAUUUUUAUCCAAAUGACUUUGAAUUUUUUAAUUAAUUAUUUAUGGAUAUUUUGAAAGUUGUAGAAUAUAUAUAAAAACAUAAAUUAAUAUUUAAAAUUACUUUAUCACCAAUAAUAAAUGGAAUAAAAAUAAAAUUCAUAAUAUAAGUAAAAAUUUAGUUAAAGUUGCACCAAAGCAAAUAAGUACAAAUACAAUAAAAAGAUAUAAUUAUGUGCUUUUUGUGGAGACGAACCAUGAUACUGUGGAUCGAUGUAAGAUGAAUUAUGAUAUGAUGGUCGAGGUAUAGGUCAAUAUAUUGGUGCAGAUGUGGGAUCCAUAUGUGUCAUUAUCUGGGGAGUUGUAUGUGGCGGCAUUGAUGGGGCCAUAGGUGCUGGCAUACCUUGGCUAAUGUUUGAUGUCCCACCAUGAUAUCCAAGAUUGUUCAUAUGAUAUUCUAAUAUUAUUACUAUUAUUAUUAUUAUUAUUAUUAUUAUUAUUAUUAUUAUUAUUAUUAUUAUUAUUACUAGUAUUACUAUUAUUAUUAUUGUUGUUGUUGUUGUUAUUUAUAAUUUAUAUAGUUAACCUCCUUGUGGUUCGACCCCGGUCUUACCGGGUUAUUUAUUACUUCGACACUCCUACACUUGGGAGAAGACAUCAAUCUUUUGGUCGUGUCAAGUUUUUGGCACCGUUGCCGGGGAGGUAAAUUCUUGUAUAAAUUAUAAUAUUUAUUUUAUUUUCUCUUUUCACUUUUCAUUUUAUCUAACUUUUAUUUCUUUUGUUUUCUUUUGUUUCUUUUUCUUCUCUUCUCCUUUCUUCCUUUAUUCUCCUCUUACACGUGCAUGAGAGUUUGGUCACGUAUAUUAAAUGGUAGACUUUGUAGGGUAUCCUCAUAAUUUUUAGAAAUAUGACUGAAGAAGAUAAUCAAUACCUUCAUAAUGAGAAUAAUGAGAAUAACUGUAUGAGAAUACUUGGAGACCAUAUGAAUCCCACAAGAACAAUUGCACCCUCAUGCAUAGUUUUCCCUCCUGAUGCAUUUCAUUUUAAUUUUAAACCAUACAUUAUUCAACUUUUACCUUCUUUUCAUGGCUUAGACCUAGAACAAUUUUUAAUUUUUUUUUCCAUCUCACAGAACAAACUCUUUUAAAAGACAAAUCAUCACUUUCACUCAAAAGCCAGGAGAAAUAUUUUACCAAUGUUGGGAUAGGUAUCGAGACUUGCUUAAUACUUGCCUUCAUCAUGGUUUUGAAACAUGGAGAUUGGUUUCACAUUUUUAUGAAGGGUUAACACCUAGAGAUAGGCAAAUGGUUGAAUUGAUGUGCAAUGGAACUUUUGAAGAUAAAGACCCUAAUGAAGCAAUGAAGUACAUAGACUUGCUAACAAAAAAUGCUCAAAAUUGGGACACCAUAGAUACUUCUGAGACACCAAGUAAAACUCAACCUCAUACAUCUAGAGGUAUACAACCUUAGAGAAGUCAUGACCUCCAAGCCAAGUUUGCAUCUUUAGCUAGAAAAGUUUGAAGCACUUGAAUUGAAAAGGGAGUGAUCAAUUAAAAUCUAUUCAAGACAUUGUGUGUCAAAUCUGUGAAACCAAUGAACACUCAAAAAAUGAUUGUCCAACUUUGCCUUCUUUUAGGGAAUGCCUUCAUGAAAAGCCAUGCUUUAAACAGUUUUCAAAGGCCCAAUCAUAACCCAUACUCACAAACGUAUAACCCUGGUUGGAUAAAUCACCUAAAUUUUAGUUGGAAGAGUGAUAGCAACAAUACACAAACUUAACAACCACCGUUUCAAGCACACCAUGAUUUCUAAAAUUCUUAUGGAUAUGCACCUCCUUAUGCUCCACCUCCUAGAAGAAAUCUUGAGGAAACAUUGCAUGCAUUCAUCAAAAAACAAGAGGCAAUCAACACUCAACUUGCUCAAGGCAUGCCAGAUUUUAAAGAUACUCUUGCAAAGUUAACAUCUACUCUCAGUUUCCAAGAAAAUGGUAAGUUUUCAUCUCAACAACAUCAAAAUCCAAAAGGACAAUACAAUGCAAAUGCAAGUAGUUCCGGAAGCCAACACAUGGAUCAAGUCAAAUCAGUCACCACUCUUCGUAGUGGUAAGGUUAUUGAAAAACCCGCUCUUGAACCUUGUGAGAAAGAUGAUGAGUCUAUCUUUGAGGGUAAGGAAGGGGUUGAAUAUGAACAUUGCAAAGAAAAUGUUGAUUCCCUGCCAGCACUCUCAUUUCCUCAUGCCAUGACCAAACAAAGAAAAGUCAACCACAACUCUGAAAUCUUUGACACUUUCAAACAUGUAAGGAUCAAUAUACCUUUGUUGGAUGCUAUUAAACAGGUUCCUUCCUAUGCUAAAUUUUUGAAAGAUCUGUGCACUGUGAAGAGAAAACUGAAUGUGACAAAGAAAACAUUUUUAGCCGAACAAGUGCCAUUCUUCAAACCAAUAAUGCUUUGAAAUAUAAAAACCCUGGUUGUGCUACAAUUUCUUGUUUUUAUUAAAGAACAUAAAAUUAAAAGAGCCUUAUUUGAUCUUGGAGCUAGUGUGAAUUUACUUUCAUAUUCAGUUUUUUUAAAGUCUUAAUCUAGGUGAGUUAAAACCAACUUCUGUAACUCUUUUACUUGCUGAUAGAUCUGUAAAAGUGCCUAGAGGAAUAGUUGAGGAUGUGUUAGUACAAGUUGAUAAAUUCAUUUACCCUGUAGAUUUUUUUGUCUUGGAUACACAACCUAUUGAAGCAUGUAAUUCAAUUCCUCUAAUUUUAGGGCGUCCAUUUCUUACCACUUCUAAUGCAUUAAUUAAUUGUAGGAAUGGACUGAUGAAGCUAUCAUUUGGAAACAUGACAUUGGAGAUGAAUAUUUUCAACAUUUACAAGCAACCUGGAGAUGAUAAUGAUUUACAGGAAGUGGAUUUUAUUGAAAAAUUAGUUCAUGAUCAAUUUCAAACCACUUCUAGUGAAACUGAGAUUGAUGAAUCUGAUGAUUUGCAAAUGGUCUCCUUUCAGGAACAAUCAAAGGCAUGUAAAUAGAGACCAUAAAUUGAAGAAUUGUGACACGACCAAAAGAUUGAUGUCUUCUCCCAAGUGCAGGAGUGUCAAAGUAAUAAAUAACCCGGCAAGACCAAGGUCGAACCACAGGGAGAUUAACUAUAAAUUAUAAAUAACAACACAACAACAACAACAACAACAACAAUUAGUAGUAGUAGUAAUAAUAGUAAUACUAAUACAAAUAAUAACAAUAAUAGUAAUAAUAGUAGUAGUAGUACUAAUAAUAUUAAUAAUAGUAAUAGUAAUAAUAAAGAGGACCUUUGAGAUGCAAGAUUAAUGUGAGGAUUAAACAAUAAUAAAAACAAAUGUCAAGGUUAGAAGAUCCAUUAAUGGUAUUUCAAACAAGUAUAAUAUAAACUCUUAUUAUUCAACUGGAAACCACACACAAAGGAGGUUCCAAUCGAAUGAUUUAUCAUUAAUAUCUCAUUAUAAAUUAUUAACAUGAUCAUAUUAAUUAUCUUAUUUAAAUAACACCAAACUUUUAAAUAUUGUCAGGAAUUCAUGAUGCUAACUAAUGUUAACAACAAAUCAAGUUCCUUUCAUAGCACAGGUGUAGGUAAACCAUACGGUUGGGCUAUGAGAGUGCUAAGCAUUUGUUGUACCAAGUGUUAUACAACACAAAUAUAGAUUAACCAUUUAACAAGCAAGAUAUUAAGAAUUAGUAAGAUAAAAAGAUAAGACAUGUUAAUAUUAAACAUUAAGGUCCAUGUUGAGUUUACAUUAUACUUAUUCUUACACCAUUAGUGUAACAUUUUCACGUUGACAUAAUAAACUUAGCUAAACAUAAUGAAGAAGAGAAACAUAAAUAAACAAAAAAGAACAUAAAUAAGAUACAAGUUAACUAAGUAAAGGAAAGGAAAUGAAAAGCAUAGACAAGAUAUUAAUGAAAGCAAAACUUAAGAAUUACAAAAAAAAUGUAAAGAGAGAGAGCAAGAACAAGUUCUUGAUCUGAACACUAAGAUGCCUAAAUGCAUGCCAAAUGCCUCCUUUUAUAGGCCAAAAUUUAGAACUAUUGAUUUGAUGACUAAUUGUUGAAUGGGUGGCCAACUCUUAACUUGGUGAAAAUCCUUAUCUUCUUGUCCGAAUAAAACAUCAUUGCUAACAUCAGAACUAGAACCACCUGUACGUAUGAAAGUUCUAGGAAAUUGUCUUAUCUUUUUAGGAAAAAAAAUUGAGGUCAUUUGGGCUUCUAGAACUUGAGAUAUGGGUUGAACACUAAACAAUAUCUGGGCUGCAGGACAUAUUUGGACUUGAAAACGACCUUUUUAAAUCUUGGACUGCACAUGAAAGUUGUAGGCCUAUGUCUUAGCAAAUCUAUCAAAAAAUUGAGAUCAUUUGGACAUUUAGAACUCGAGAUAUGACCCAAUUACCGAACAGUGUUCCAGUUUAGACUGCACCAAUAUUUUUUUUUCUAAGUUUGGCACUCUCUUUGUCCUUUCAAUUUCAAUACUUAAACUCAUCAAUCUAUCCUUUCAUUUAUGUGAUAGGCCUGCAUUUAAGAUGAACCUUUUCCAUAAAUUAAAGGUAUCUUAUUUUAUUAUUAUAAAACAUGCUUUAGUUAAGGAGUUAUUAAUACUUCAAGUGCAAAAUGAUGAUAUAAAACCUUGAUAAAAAUACACUUUUAAGUACUAAUCACACCCCCCAACCACCUUAUUACUAGUCCCUAGUAAUCAAAGCGUUAAAAUAGAAAAACAAUUUGCAAGUUCCAGAAAGCAAGGCAUUCAUCAUUAAACUUCCAUUAAUCUAUCCAAAUAAACAAACUCUCAUUAAAUUUGUAAUCCUGCUUCAUAUAUCUUAAACAAGAUAUUAAUAAACCUUGUUUUUAUGUGCUCAAUGAAAACAUAGAUGAUGAGACUUUUGUUGGAAGAAAACAAUAUUAUGUUCUAAUGUUUAAGAUUAACUUCCUGGGGUUGGGUAUUAUUAUAUAUAUAUAUUUUUUUUUUCUUUUUUUAUUAUUUAUUUAUAUACAUAUACAACUUAAAACACAAUGCAUCUUUAACAAAUGUAACGAGUUUUCGGCUAAUGACUCCCAAACCAAUUGGUCUUAGGGCAUUAGGUGUUGAGACACCCCUAUGAGCUUAGUAACUCGGGUUGCAGAUACUGAUAUGUAGAUAAUGCAAUGUUUUAUUUCCUUAAGCUUUUCUCCUUAACCCAUGUAACAAGCUUUAGGCCAAUAGCUCCUAAGUCUGUUGACUUUAGGGUAUUAGGUGUUAAAACACCCAUUCGAGCUUAAUUGCUUAGGUUAGGGAGGCUACGAAACCAAACUUAUCUAUGUUUUUAUUAUCAUCAAUAUUAUCAUUUUUUUUUCAAAUUAUACACUAUCCCUUUCCCUUAGUUGUUACCUUUAACAAAAGAACAUAAAUAAUGUAAUAAUCCAAUGUGCAACCCACAAUCAUAUGAUAAAGUGCGUGUGUGAAAAUGAAGGUUUAAGAAUACUUGUUAAAUGAGUAUAUGAGCAGGAUCGAGUGACAACAAUGUGAGAGUUUGUAAACCUGAAUAUUUCAAGAAGUAUUCUAAUAGACCUUGGUGAUGAUACUUACUAAGAUGCGUCUCAAGAGUCAAUAAAAUUUCCUCCUUACUCUGCCAUCCUAAUAACAAUUUUGUCAAAUAGUUUUAAUAAUAGUAAAAAGAGUUAGUAAGUUAGUUUUUUUUUAUGUCGACUACUACCCUCUCCCCCAACCAAAACGAGACAUUAUCCUCAAUGUCCUAAGGUAGAAAUCACCUGAAACACAAACAAUGACAAACCUGAAACACACUUAAACAAAUAUAAGAAGUAACAAAACAAAAUAAUAUGCUAUUAAUAAAACCAAAAAACACAAGGUUUCAAAAAUGAAGGCUCAAAUCUAAUCUAAGCUUUUUACGGCUUUCCUUAGUUGACCAAUUUAGGCGAAUCAUGCAGGGAUCAAUGACAGGGAUGAAAGAUUGUAGUUGGUCAAUCAAUUGUUCAGCAGUAGCAGCAGAGAUUAUGAUUGCUCGUGCCGAAGAUAUUAGAAAUUCAUGUUCCACAGCUUGAUCAAGAAAAGACAACAAUUUAUCAUAGAAACCAUUAACAUUUAACAAACCUAUAGGUUUAUGGUGAAUGUGCAGUUGGGCCCGAGAGGAAAUAUGAAAGAUCUCUUCCAAUGUGCCCAGACCACCUGGUAAGGCAAUGAAGGCAUCAACAUGGUUAAACAUGACAUUUAGUCGAUCAGACAUUGUGGGGACCUGUAGUUCCUCUCCAAUAUUUUUUCCAAUGAUGUCCCUAUUUGUUAAAGCUUUGGGGACAUCCCCCAAAACUUGACUGCCUCCUAAAAAUGCAGCCAUUGACACACCUCCCAUUAACCCAAGGUUACCUCCCCCAUACAUUAAAUGAAUCUUUCUCUCAGCUAGUACCCGACCAAGAUGAUUUGCUGAUUCUAAAAACUCUUUUUCUUUCCCAGGACUGGAUCCACCGAAAACACAAAUAUUUCUUAUGUGAUGACUUGAGGAACCUGCCAUUUCUACAUGCUUUUAUAUUUGAUGAAUGUAUGGGUUGAGUAGAAAUGAAGGGAAGGAAGAGAAUAAUUUAUAGAUGAGAAAUUGAAAAUGCAAUCAUACCACCUAUAUGUAGGCCAACUGUAGUCUCACACACACGCUCUCUGUUUAUUAAUUAUUUAUUUUGAAAAAAAGCAUGUGUAUGUACAAGUAGUUGUGAUUGUGCCUCACAUCUUCUCUUGGUUUUACAUCCAAGAACGACUUAAACGCUCUCUAUGGGUCGGGGAUAGGUUUCCCAUCCAGUUUUCUUAAAAACUGGCAAAUAAGGUCUUUUUUAGUUAGAUUCCCAAGACUAAGUCGGGCAUGUUCUUUAUGGAAUUGUGGCCAUAAAUCAUGAAUUUCACGAUGUACAUCUCCACUAGGAUGCGUCUCAAGGGUCAACAGAAGAUUAUUUAAAGACCCUUUACUGAGGCCAUCCUUAAUGAAUUGUAUUUUAUCUUCAUGGUUUACAUAUACCAUUCCUAAAAAAUGACAUGUCGCAUUACAAGUCCAUCUGACACAUCUAUGACAGACUUUCAGUAAUUUUGCAUGACGUUUCUUUGCAAAAGUGCUUUUACCUAUUCCAGGCAUGUGUGAAAUGAAAGAAUUGGAGGACUCACCUACUAAUCGGACCUUUGCUUCAAUUAGCCAGCGAAUAUCUUCAGGAAUUCCAUGAUUCAUUAACAACCUCAAUCUUGCACACCUAGUACGGUAAAUUUUUGUAAUCUCAUUUGAAGGCAAAGUGGAAAAAUACCUUUUCAAUUUUUCGAGAGUGGUGUCCAUUUUUAAAGAAUUGGGGAAAAGAUUCAAAGAAGGGAGAAAGAGCAAAGAAUUGCAAAAAUAUAGACAGAUAUUAGCUAUUAUUGAAAACUAAAAGAACCAACUUAAGUCACGGAGUACCGUUAUCCACCAUUUGACCGGGGUGAGAGAGAGACUAGCAAAACAAAAGUUACACCAAAACAAAACACAAAACAAUGUGAGAAAAAGAAUCAAUCUUUAUAUAUAGGAUCACUCAAUUCAAUAGUCAUUUUCAACCGAAAAAUUAUCGAAAUAAACUUUGAAACGAUGCCCAUUUACCUUGAAAACAUUGCCAUUCUUUGGAUUCUUGAUAUCACAGGCCCCAUAUGGAUAUACAUGUUUCAUAAUAAAAGGAUCGCUCCAUCUUGAUCUUAGUUUUCCAGGAAAUAAAUGGAGUUGAGAAUUAUAAAGCAAGACUUUUUGACCAACAUUGAAUGUUUUUCUAAGUAUUUUCUUGUCAUGAAACUCUUUGAUUCUUGCUUUAUGAAUUCUUGAAUUGUCAUAUGCAUAAUUUCUUAUUUUCUCAAGCUCAUUUAUUUACAAUUUUCGUAGCAUCAUCAAGGUUGGAAUUGAAAGCUUUAACAGCCCAAUAAGCUUUAUGUUCAAUUUUCACAGGCAAGUGCAAGGUUUUCCAUUUACUAAUCUAUAAGGUGCCAUACCUAAUGAUGUUUUUAUAAGCAGUUCGAUAAGUUCAAAGUGCAUCAUUAAGUCUUAAAGGCCAGUCUUUCCUAUUAGGGUUCACUGUUUUCUCCAAGAUUUGUUUGAUCUCCCUAUUAGCAAGCUCUACUUAUCCACUUGUAUGAGGGUGAUAAGGGGUGGCAACUUUGUGUGUGAUUCCAUAUUUUUUCAUUAAAGAAUCAAAUGGCUUGUUGCAUAAAUGUGUUCCACCAUCACUUAUCAUGGCUCGAGGGAUUCCAAAUCAACUCAAAAUAUUGUAUUUCAAAAACUUUAUCACUGUUUUGUGAUCAUUGUAUUGGCUUGGAAUUGCCUCUAUCUAUUUUGAAACAUAAUCUACUACGACUAAUAUGUACACGAAACCAAAUGAUGGAGGAAAUGGACCCAUGAAAUCUAUACGCCAACAAUCAAAGAUCUCAAUGACAAUAAUAGGAUUUAAAGGCAUGAUGUGACGUUUUGAAAUAGAUCCCAACUUUUAACAAUUUUCAUAAGUGUUGCAGAAUGCAUGUGAGUCCUUGAACAUGGUGGGCCAGUAAAAUCCACUUUGUAAGAUUUUUGCAGUUGUUUUUUUGACAAGAAAUGACACCCACAUGCCUCAGAAUGACCAAAUUUAAUGACGCUACUUCCCUCAUUGAUGAUUAUGUUUUUAUUAUAUAUGGGUCCCUGCAUUCUUGAUUAUGUUUAAAAACAUCCCCGUCCCUUUUUACCUCACUUUUUCUAGUUUUGAUCAAGGUUGUCAAUUCCGGUCUGUUUUGUUUGGAAUGGUCGAAACAUUUGAUACUUAUUAAAAAACAUAACAAAACGAAAAAAGUUUCAUCUUAUUUUAAAUCUCGGUCCAUUCCGGAGUUUUUGACUAAAUUUUGACUGGAAUGUUCCGGUUUCAUUCCACAUAUUUCAUUCUGGUCUUGAAAAGCCAUUGAAUCAAAUUGAAUCUGGUUCAAUUUAAUUAAUUAAACCACCCAAAUAUAAAAAGCUUUUUUUAAUUACUAUUUUCAAUUACAAUGAUACUAAUAAUAAUAUUGAAAAUUAUUAUUACUAUUUUCAUUAACAAUGAUAUUAAAUUUUUAAAAUUAGAUUUAUCACUAACAAUGAUACUAAUUUAUUAUUUAUGGAUAUUUUGAAAGUUGUAGAAUAUAUAUAAGAAACAUAAAUUAAUAUUUAAAAUUACUUUAUCACCAAUAAUAAAUGGAAUAAAAAUAAAAUUCAUAAUAUAAGUAAAAAUUUAGUUAAACUUACACUAAUGCAAAUAAGUCAAAAUACAAUAAAAAGAUACAAUUAUGGUGCUUGUUGUGGAGAUGAACCAUGAUAUUGUGGAUCAACAUAAGAUGAAUUAUGACAUGAUGGUCGAGGUGUAGGUCAAUAUAUUGGUGGAGAUGUGGGAUCCAUAGGUGUCAUUUUAUGGGGAGCCAUAUGUGGCUCCAUUGAUGGGGCCAUAAGUGCUGGCAUACCUUGGCCAAUGUUUGAUGUCCCACCAUGAUAUCCAAGAUUGUUCAUAAGAUAUUCUUUCAUAGAAUCCAUCUGUCGUUUCAUUUCAAAAAUAAAAUCAUCUCUUUUCUUUAUCCCGCUUCUUUUUUCUUUAUCUCCUUUUGCAAUGCUCGAUAAGAUGAAUUAGGAUAUUGUGACUUCACCGAGUAGGAAUGUGAUGAAGAACUUGUAAUCACUAUAGAUUUUGGCAUACGAGGUGCACUAUAUACCCUACCCUUUGUAACUCCUCCUGAAGCCACCACCAAGCUGCUCCAUCAAAUGAAGAAUGAUUUUUCCUAUUAGUUCCGUACUUUGAAAUCAUCUCCUUCUUAUCAUUUUCCUUAAAAAUAAAAUACAUACAAUAAUAAAUUCAUUUGAAUGUUAAAUAGUAUUUAAGUUAUAUAAAUAAAUAAAUAAAAAUACAUACAAUCACUUUCUUAGACUUGCUAUUUACAAAGAUUCUAAACUGCUUAGUACUUUGAUGCAAAGCUGAAACGACAUCAUCUCAUGAAGGUUUUUUUUUCUACCAACUUGCUUUUGCUAGGAAUUAUGAAACAUGUCCGUCAUGAACUCUCAUAAGUCUCUCAUCAUUUUGACAAUAUCUUGCAUUGGACUGUGUAAUUCAACACCUUCGAUGCGGACCUGGAUUUCGGGUAGAAAUCAUGAUGCUAUUUUAUGACAUGGAAAACAAAAUUAGGGUAUUUUUUAAACCUUUAUGAACUCUCACAACUCUCACAAGGCUCUCACCAUUUUGACGAUCUUUUGUAAUGGACUGUGUAAUUCAACACCUUCAAUUCAGACCUGGAUUUUAGCUAGAAAUCUUGACGCUAUUUUAUGAUAUGGAAAACAAAAUUAUGUUUUAAUUUAUAUAUAUGGGUCCCUGCAUUCUUCAUUAUGUUUAAAAACUUCCCCAUCCCUUUUUACCUCACUUUUUUCUAGUUUUGAUCAAGGUUGUCAAUUUCGUUCUGUUUUGUUUGGAAUCACCGAAACAUUUCAUAUCUAUUAAAAAACAUAACAAAACAGAACAAGUUUCAUCUUAUUUUAAAUCUCGGUCCAUUCCGGAGUUUUUGACUAAAUUUUGACUGGAAUGUUCCGGUUUCAUUCCACAUAUUUCAUUCCGGUCUUGAAAAGCCAUUGAAUCAAAUUGAAUCUGGUUCAAUUUAAUUAAUUAAACCACCCAAGUAUAAAAAGCUUUUUUUAAUUACUAUUUUCAAUAACAAUGAUAUUAAUAAUAAUAUUGAAAAUUAUUAUUAUUUUCAUUAACAAUGAUAAAAUUUUUAAAUUAGAUUUAUCACUAAUAUAUAUGGUUUAUUUCAUGUUUUUUUUCAUGUUUAUACUUUGGAGAAAUUUGAGCAAAACAAGGGAUGCUUUAGAUCCCAUUAGCCUCGAUAACGUUGAACUAGCUUUAUAUGUAAAAUAUUGGUAUUAAAACAUUUUACUUUCAUAAUAUUUUGAUAUUUUGUUUAAGUUAGUUGAGAAUAAUGGAAUGUGUUGGGUUGUGCCUUAGCCAACCUUCCUAUUUAUAUAGAGGCAGCAAAACACUGCAGUAACUAUAAUGAUUACAACAUCCUAUAUUACUUUCCUAUCCUGAUAGAUACAUGAGUAACUGUAAUGAUAACAACAUCCUAUAUUAAUUUCCUAUUCUACAAUAUGCCCCCUCAAGUUGAGGGUGGGGGAUCAACUCGAAGCUUGAACCAAAAGAAGUAAAGGAUGCAACAUGAAGCGGUUUAGUGAAGACAUCGACAAGUUGAUCCCGAGAGGGAACAAAAUGAAUCUGAAUUUCUUUCUUGGCAACACGGUCACGAACAAAGUGAUAAUCCACUUCAACAUGCUUUGUACGAGCAUGGAAGAUAGGAUUUGCUGAGAGAUAGGUAGCACCAAGAUUAUCACACCAAAUGGUAGGAGCAGAGACUGAGGGAACUUGCAAAUCUGUUACACAGUUUGGCCAAAUGACUUCAAGCGGUACCAUCAGCAAGGGCUUUAUACUCAGCCUCAGUAGAGGAGUGAGCAAUAGUGCGUUGCUUGCCGGAUUUCCAAGAAAUCGGCGUCUGACCAAAAAAGACAAGAUAGCCGCCUGUAAACUUGCGAUCAUCAAUAACCAGCCCAAUCUGUAUCUAUAAAGCCAUGUAGAGCAAAAGAGGAGCCUUGAGUGAUAUGGAAACCAUAAGAUGUCGUACCUUUAAGAAAUAGCGUAAAAUACGUUUGACAGCGGCCCAAUGAGAAAUGUAAGAGCAUGCAUAAACUGACAGACUCUGUUAACAACAAAGCAUAUAUCUGGACGGGUGAAGGUAAGAUAUUGAACGGGUAUGCGUUUUUGAUAUGCGAACUUGAAUGCUAUAUUUACAGCUUUUAGUAUAUAAUUAGCUUGCUAUACAUGUUAUUUUCUCAAACUUUAAUGUUAUUUAUUUAUUUCAGGUCAGGUUCGGGUAGACCAAUAUCCAUACUCUACUCGGACUUGACUUUUUCCAUUUGAUUUAUUCGAAACUCGAUUGAGUCUAAAAGUUUUCUAUUUGAAUCGAUUGAGUUAGUAUGCAUAGGUAAAACUGUCAUGGUAAGUAUAAUCCAAAUACCAUAUUGUUUGGCAAUGAUAUGCUUUGCUAUUAGUUCUAACAUGACAACUAACAAACUAUCAACCCAACAAAAAGAUAUAAAAUCAUGUUAAAGAAUUAUCUCAACCACAAAACUUAAGUUGUUAUGUAAAGUUUUAAGAUAUAAUUAUAUUAUUAUCUAACCACCUCUCGAAUGAAAGCAUUUUGGGCUUGAAACUUGCAAACCCAUAUUACCUUGUGCUUUUUUUAUUCAAAUAUAGAGAUGGUGAGAUUCGAACUCGUAAUUACUUAAUUAUCAAGGCUAUAAUACCAUAUCAAAGAACCAUCUCAACACAAUAACUUAAACUAUUAUAUAAGAUUUCAAAUAAUUUAUAUUACUCUUUAAUCAUUUCGAUAUUAAUUUACAUGUAAGGGCAUAUUGUAUUCUGAAUGCCCCACGAAGACAGAAAGAGUUGGAAGAAAAAGGCUAGAAGCUAGAUGCUAGAGCAUGGAGCUAUGGACCAAUCUAUGAACUUUUCAGCCAGCAGAGCAAGUUGUUGUUUGGAGCCCUUCUACUUUAUAAAUUCUGAAGAGGCAAGAAAAAGAAGACUUUCAUCUUUUUUCGAGAGACAGAAGGCAUGCUAAUGAAACUAGGGGUGGGGGAGUUUUGUAGGUGAAGACCACGAGAUGAAGCACACACGGGGAAGGAAGAAUUAGAGCUUCGUGACAAACCUAAGAUUUUUGAAUUGUUCUCUUUUUUUUCAUGCUCAUGCAGCAGAUUAUCCUACGUAGACCACCAUUACCACAACAAGGAAGAGAUAGAGAGCUGCUAGUCAGCAAAUCUGCUGCAACUUGGUCCCUUGUUCUAUAAAUGGCUGCUGAUGUCGAGACUCAAAAAUCACUUCAAUUUCAAGAUCAAGAUUGAGUUUAUACACUAAUUCUUGCAUUAAUAUCAGUACUACUGCCAUUGAGACCAUGGCCUUCAAGACAUUUUCUUUGUUUCUCUCGUGAUUGCUGCAAUAUUGCAGCCCCAGUUGCUGAAGCUCAUUGGGCUUAUUGGCGGUCUUCUGGGUUUGAUCCGAUCCAAGGGACUAUUUUGCACUGCCGAUGGCAAUAUUGGUGCUAAUGGCACAGCAACCCCUGUUUUCCCUAGUAUGCUUGCCCUGAUUCCUCUCUUUUCUUUUUUCUUUUCUUUUGAUCGAUAGUAAAGUAUCCUCGGACCAGAUUGUCAUGUUAUAGUUACCAUUCAUCACAUACGACAUCGUCGAAUGCAAUUUGACUUUGUUCUUCUUCUUAUCUUGCUUAUAAAGUUGUAAUUACAGUAACGGGUUUUUUCUUGCAGAUGCUCUCGUGCAGUUGCAAUGUGGAGGAAAUGUGGUUUCUACGUCAACACCAAUGGAUCUGGGAUGUUUUCUAUUUUGUUGGUCCUCUAAAUUAUAUUCUUUCCUCGGUAUUGAGCGACUGCAACCUGAAGGUCGUCACCGCUGAUCAGCUGCACUCAGUCUCCCUUGCUGUGGGUGGCUCCUAUCACCCUUACAGUUCAUCGGGAACACUGCUCUAGGAGCCUCUGAGUGUUGCAAACAUCAUCCCUGCCGGAUUCCGAUUCGUGCCUUAAAUUAGGAGACCACUGUAGUGAAGGCGGCAUUUAUUAUAUUUAGUAUGGCCAUUGCUAUGUACUCUUUUAUGAAUAAGGCUGUUGUAUUUACGUGUGUACUGUUUAUUGUUUUUCUUGCUUCCCAGGAUAAGGUCAUGAUUGGCUAUGCCAUUAUAUUAUAUAAUGUAUAUAUUUAGCGGUCUAAAUUACGAGGGGCCUACUAAAAAACGUAGCAAGUAUUUUGAUGCAAAUAAAACUAAUUUGUUGCUAAAACAUUUAGCAACAAAAUUAGCAACAUCGAUGUAUUAUAUGCAGAUUUGUUUUGUUGAUUUUAUAAUAGGGAUUUGUCGGUUGUUGAUUUAUCAGUAAUGAAUAAUCUAUUGCUCACAAUUGCAUGGAUUUUCCGUGCUAACAAUUAGAAUGUCUGUUGCUGGUUUUUUGAAUUAUUUACAAUCAACAACGAAAAAUCCGUAGCUAAUUAUAUGAUUUUAUUUAAUUAAUAUAUAUUAUAUAUUUUAUCCAAAUGACUUUUUUUUAAUUUAUUAUUUAUGGAUAUUUGAAAGUUGUAGAAUAUAUAUAAGAACAUAAAUUAUAUUAUUAAUUACUUUAUCACCAAUAAUAAAUGGAAUAAAAAUAAAAUUCAUAAUUAAGUAAAAAUUUAGUUAACUUACACUAAUGCAAAUAAGUCAAAAUACAAUAAAAGAUACAAUUAUGGUGCUUGUUGUGGAGAUGCAUGAUUGUGGAUCAACAUAAGAUGAAUUAUGACAUGAUGGUCGGGUGUAAGGUCAAUUAUUGGUGGAGAUGUGGGAUCCAUAGAUGUCAUUUUAUGGGGAGCCAUAAGUGCUGGCAUACCUUGGUCAAUGUUUGAUGUCCCACCAUGAUAUCCAAGAUUGUUCAUAAGAUAUUCUUUCAUAGAAUCCAUCUGUCGUUUCAUUUCAAAAAUAAAAUCAUCUCUUUUCUUUAUCCCGCUUCUUUUUUCUUUAUCUCCUUUUGCAAUGCUCGAUAAGAUGAAUUAGGAUAUUGUGACUUCACCGAGUAGGAAUGUGAUGAAGAACUUGUAAUCACUAUAGAUUUUGGCAUACGAGGUGCACUAUAUACCCUACCCUUUGUAACUCCUCCUGAAGCCACACACCAAGCUGCUCCAUCAAAUGAAGAAUGAUUUUUCCUAUUAGUUCCGUACUUUGAAAUCAUCUCCUUCUUAUCAUUUUCCUUAAAAAUAAAAUACAUACAAUAAUAAAUUCAUUUGAAUGUUAAAUAGUAUUUAAGUUAUAUAAAUAAAUAAAUAAAAAUACAUACAAUCACUUUCUUAGACUUGCUAUUUACAAAGAUUCUAAACUGCUUAGUACUUUGAUGCAAAGCUGAAACGACAUCAUCUCAUGAAGGUUUUUUUUCUACCAACUUGCUUUUGCUAGGAAUUAUGAAAGAACAUGUCCGUCAUGAACUCUCAUAAGUCUCUCAUCAUUUUGACAAUAUCUUGCAUUGGACUGUGUAAUUCAACACCUUCGAUGCGGACUUGGAUUUCGAGUAGAAAUCAUGAUGCUAUUUUAUGACAUGGAAAACAAAAUUAGGGUAUUUUUUUAAACCUUUAUGAACUCUCACAACUCUCACAAGGCUCUCACCAUUUUGACGAUCUUUUGUAAUGGACUGUGUAAUUCAACACCUUCAAUUCAGACCUGGAUUUUAGCUAGAAAUCUUGACGCUAUUUUAUGAUAUGGAAAACAAAAUUAUGUUUUAAUUAUAUAUAUAUGAGUCCCUGCAUUCUUCAUUAUGUUUAAAAACUUCCCCAUCCCUUUUUACCUCACUUUUUUCUAGUUUUGAUCAAGGUUGUCAAUUUCGUUCUGUUUUGUUUGGAAUCACCGAAACAUUUCAUAUCUAUUAAAAAACAUAACAAAACAGAACAAGUUUCAUCUUAUUUUAAAUCUCGGUCCAUUCCGGAGUUUUUGACUAAAUUUUGACUGGAAUGUUCCGGUUUCAUUCCACAUAUUUCAUUCCGGUCUUGAAAAGCCAUUGAAUCAAAUUGAAUCUGGUUCAAUUUAAUUAAUUAAACCACCCAAGUAUAAAAAGCUUUUUUUAAUUACUAUUUUCAAUAACAAUGAUAUUAAUAAUAAUAUUGAAAAUUAUUAUUACUAUUUUCAUUAACAAUGAUAAUAAAUUUUUAAAAUUAGAUUUAUCACUAAUAUAUAUGGUUUAUUUUCAUGUUUUUUUUUCAUGUUUAUACUUUGGAGAAAUUUGAGCAAAACAAGGGAUGCUUUAGAUCCCAUUAGCCUCGAUAACGUUGAACUAGCUUUAUAUGUAAAAUAUUGGUAUUAAAACAUUUUACUUUCAUAAUAUUUUGAUAUUUUGUUUAAGUUAGUUGAGAAUAAUGGAAUGUGUUGGGUUGUGCCUUAGCCAACCUUCCUAUUUAUAUAGAGGCAGCAAAACACUGCAGUAACUAUAAUGAUUACAACAUCCUAUAUUACUUUCCUAUCCUGAUAGAUACAUGAGUAACUGUAAUGAUAACAACAUCCUAUAUUAAUUUCCUAUUCUACAAUAUGCCCCCUCAAGUUGAGGGUGGGGGAUCAACUCGAAGCUUGAACCGAAAAGAAGUAAAGGAUGCAACAUGAAGCGGUUUAGUGAAGACAUCGACAAGUUGAUCCCGAGAGGGAACAAAAUGAAUCUGAAUUUUUUUUUGGCAACACGGUCACGAACAAAGUGAUAAUCCACUUCAACAUGCUUUGUACGAGCAUGGAAGAUAGGAUUUGCUGAGAGAUAGGUAGCACCAAGAUUAUCACACCAAAUGGUAGGAGCAGAGACUAAGGGAACUUGCAAAUCUGUUAACAAGUAUUGAAGCCAAAUGACUUCAGCGGUACCAUCAGCAAGGGCUUUAUACUCAGCCUCAGUAGAGGAGUGAGCAAUAGUGCGUUGCUUGCCGGAUUUCCAAGAAAUCGGCGUCUGACCAAAAAAGACAAGAUAGCCACCCGUAAACUUGCGAUCAUCAAUACUACCAGCCCAAUCUGUAUCUAUAAAGCCAUGUAGAGCAAAAGAGGAGCCUUGAGUGAUAUGGAAACCAUAAGAUGUCGUACCUUUAAGAUAGCGUAAAAUACGUUUGACAGCGGCCCAAUGAGAAUAUGUAAGAGCAUGCAUAAACUGACAGACUCUGUUAACAACAAAGCAUAUAUCUGGACGGGUGAAGGUAAGAUAUUGAACGGGUAUGCGUUUUUGAUAUGCGAACUUGAAUGCUAUAUUUUACAGCUAUUUAGUAUAUAAUUAGCUUGCUAUACAUGUAUUUUUCUCAAACUUUAAUGUUAUUUAUUUAUUUCAGGUCAGGUUCGGGUAGACCAAUAUCCAUACUCUACUCGGACUUGACUUUUUCCAUUUGAAUUUUAUUCGAAACUCGAUUGAGUCUAAAUUUUUUCUAUUUGAAUCAAUUUGAGUUAGUAUGCAUAGGUAAAACUGUCAUGGUAAGUAUAAUCCAAAUACCAUAUUGUUUGGCAAUGAUAUGCUUUGCUAUUAGUUCUAACAUGACAACUAACAAAACUAUCACACCCAACAAAAAAAGAUAUAAAAUCAUGUUAAAGAAUUAUCUCAACCCAAUAACUUAAGUUGUUAUGUAAAGUUUUAAGAUAUAAUUUAUAUUAUUAUCUAACACACCCUCUCAAAUGAAAGCAUUUUGGGCUUGAAACUUGCACAAACCCAUAUUACCUUGUGCUUAAUUUUUAUCAAAUAAAUAGAGAUGGUGAGAUUCGAACUCGUAAUUACUUAAUUAUCAAGGCUAUAAUACCAUAUCAAAGAACCAUCUCAACACAAUAACUUAAACUAUUAUAUAAGAUUUCAAGAUAUAAUUUAUAUUACUCUCUAAUCAAUUUCGAUAUUAUUUACAUGUAAGGGCAUAUUGUAAUCUGAAUGCCCCACGGAGACAGAAAGAGUUGGAAGAAAAAAGGCUAGAAGCUAGAUGCUAGAGCAUGGAGCUAUGGACCAAUCUAUGAACUUUUCAGCCACGCAGAGCAAUUUGUUGUUUGGAGCCCUUCUACUUUAUAAAUUCUGAAGAGGCAAGAAAAAGAAGACUUUCAUCUUUUUUCGAGAGACAGAAGGCAUGCUAAUGAAACUAGGGGUGGGGGAGUUUUGUAGGUGAAGACCACAGAUGAAGCACACAGGGGAAGGAAGAAUUAGAGCUUCGUGACAAACCUAAGAUUUUUGAAUUUCUCUUUCUUUUCAUGGUCAUGCAGCAGAUUAUCCUACGUAAACUCACCAUCACCACAAACAAGGAAGAGAUAAGAGAGCUGUUAGUCAGCAAAAUCUGCUGCAACUUGGUCUCCCUUGUUCUAUAAAUGGCUGCUGAUGUCGAGACUCAAAAAUCACUUCAAUUUCAAGAUCAAGAUUGAGUUUAUACACUAAUUCUUGCAUUAAUAUCAGUACUACUGCCAUUGAGACCAUGGCCUUCAAGACAUUUCUCUUUGUUUCUCUCGUGAUUGCUGCAAUAUUGGCAGCCCCAGUUGCUGAAGCUCAGCUUGGGCUUAUUGGCGGUCUUCUGGGUUUGAUCCGCAUCCAAGGGACUCUAUUUUGCACUGCCGAUGGCAAUAUUGGUGCUAAUGGCACAGCAACCCCUUUUCCCUAGUAUGCUUGCCCUGAUUCCUCUUCCUUUUCUUUUUUCUUUUCUUUUGAUCGAUAGUAAAGUAUCCUCGGACCAGAUUGUCAUGAUUACAUAGUUACCAUUCAUCACAUACGACAUCGUCGAAUGCAAUUUGACUUUGUUCUUCUUCUUAUCUUGCUUAUAAAGUUGUAAUUACAGUAACGGGUUUUUUCUUGCAGAUGCUCUCGUGCAGUUGCAAUGUGGAGGAAAUGUGGUUUCUACGUCAACCACCAAUGGAUCUGGGAUGUUUUCUAUCUUGUUGGAUCCUCUAAAUUAUAUUCUUUCCUCGGUAUUGAGCGACUGCAACCUGAAGGUCGAUACACCGCUGAUCAGCUGCAACUCCAGUCUCCCUGCUGUGGGUGGCCUCCUAUCACCCUUACAGUUCAUCGGGAACACUGCUCUAGGAGCCCUCCUGAGUGUUGCAAACAUCAUCCCUGCCGGAUUCCGAUUCGUGCCUUUAAAUUAAGGAGACCACUGUAGCUGAAGGCGGCAUUAUUAUUAUUAUUAGUAUGGCCAUUGCUAUGUACUACUUUAUAUGAAUAAGGCUGUUGUAUUAUACGUGUGUACUGUUUAUUGUUUUUUCUUGCUUCCCAAGGAAUAAAGGUCAUGAUUGGCUAUGCAUUAUAUAUAUAUUUUUAUCCAAAUGACUUUUAAUUUUUUAAUUUAUUAUUUAUGGAUAUUUUGAAAGUUGUAGAAUAUAUAUAAGAAACAUAAAUUAAUAUUUAAAAUUACUUUAUCACCAAUAAUAAAUGGAAUAAAAAUAAAAUUCAUAAUAUAAUUAAAAAUUUAGUUAAACUUGCACUAAUGCAAAUAAAUCAAAAUACAAUAAAAAGAUAGAAUUAUGGUGCUUGUUGUGGAGACGAACCAUGAUACUGUGGAUCAACAUAAGAUGAAUUAUGAUAUGAUGGUCGAGGUGUAGGUCAAUAUUGUAAGAGUCUGAAGUGUACAACUCGAUUAAUGUUAAAAGAUCCCAAUAUAUCAUCUUAUUUGAGGGUAAUUUUUUUGUUUUCAUUUCCAAAAAUUUGACAGAGUUUCAUUUGUAUUUUGGACAUCUCAAGUUAUCGACUACUAUCAAUUUACUCAAUCAACCCAUCAUCACAAGGUCCCAUAAUUUUGGACCUUAUAUCAAACCUCAUAAUUCCACACCUCAUACAAUCCACACACAAUAUAUAUAUAUAUAUCUUACGAGUAAGUUCAAUAUGAACAUAGUCCAACACAUCAUAUCAUAAAAUUUAAAAGAAAAGGAAUAAUAACAUGCAAAGAAAGCAUUUACAAUAUAAGAAGUGUUCUUAAAUAUUUCAAAAGGGUUAAUUACAAGAUAACUAAAAUACUACAUGCUCAGCUGAACCUUUGUAAAUAUAUCAAGAUUUACACAAACGUAUACUACAUAAACAUGUUAAUUCCCUUUUAUUUUAAGUUAAAUAUUUACAUAAGCUUCACAAAGUAGAGUCCUAAACUAAUGAUCUUCCUGGAUAUUUGAUGAACCUGUUACAUAAAUAAACAUACCAUUAUGUUGAUAAAGAAUAUAUAUAUAUGCUCAUGUAAUGAAUACAAAUGAAGUAUUAACUUUCUAUUGGAUCCAUAAGAAUAUUAACAGAGAACUUAUAUUUUGCUUGUAAGUCUUUUAAACCCAAUUAACACUCAUUUAUAUACUCUUAAUUUCAAUACUCUAAUUUACUUGCAUGAACUGCAUCACCUUGCAAAGUUUAAUCUUGUAAUUCAUUUCCCGACAAUCCUAUCAUGGAUGCCAUUAGCCGAAGCUAAUCUUGUAAAUCAUCUCCCGGCAAUCCUAUCACGGAUGCCAUUAGCCGAAGCUAAUCUUGUAUUUACGCUAGACUUUAUUUACAUUGAACACAACAUUUAUUGUAAUUGCAUUCACCAGAAGAAUUUUAAAUUGUAUAAGUGCAAAUAAGAGGAAAAUCACGCACCUCCUUUGCUUGUCUCGCGACCUCCCCUAACAGAAGAUCCAAUCCUGGUUGCUCCUCCUGAAUCAUAAUGAAGUUUUUAGUUAUGAUUCCUUCAAGUCGAUAUUAUAGAGAAUCUAUAUUCAUCCAUUACUCAUAUGUUACUUUCUAUGCAUGUUCAUUUUCUCAUAAUAUCAUACAUACAUAUAUCAUGUACAUUUUAAGAGUUAGUAUCUCAAUGUGCAAGUGUUCGUAUGACACAAUUCUUUUAUAUUCUUAUAUAUAGUAUUCACGUGAAAGUGUAUUAUUACUGUCUAACUUUAAACUGUUACUGUCCAAUUUUGAAAUGUUACUGUCCAAUUUUUAACCGUUACUUUCCAAUCGUUACUGUCUAAUUUUGAACUGUUACUGUCCAAACACUCACCAGAUUUUUAACUAUAUCUAAAGUUCUAAAACUUCAUUUUAAGUGACAUUAAUCUCGUUAUAAAGCUAAGACACGAGGCUACAAGUUUUAUGAAGGGAGGAGAGCCUAGUUUUGCCUCUAAGAUAGUCAAAAUUGCUCAUAAAAUAGUUAGUCCUACUGCCCUACAUAAUCAGUCACGACUCAGUCUCAGUUGGUAACCCAUAACUGGAGUUCUACAUCUCCAAGUUGAGCAAGACCAGUUUCCUUGGUUAGCUCACAUUCAAAUCUACAAUUUCUAUGAGAAACCCGAUCCUAAUCCCCUCAUUCUCCUACCCAAAAUCUCAUCGAAAGUUAGGAGACAAGUCUGUCAUUUUUAUUGGUAGGAAAAGGACAGAUUUAGUUAGUCGAUCCACAAUGACCAAGAUUGCAUCAUUUCCCCUCUUUGCUUUGGGUAGUCUCGACACAAAGUCCGUUGUGAUCAUCUCCCACUUCCACUCAGGGAUUGGUAAUGGUUGUAACAGCCCUGCCGGUUUUCGGUGUUCUACUUUUACUUGUUGGCAAAUACUACAUUUUGCCACGUAACUAGCCACUUCUUUUCUCAUAUUUGGCCACUAGUAGUACUGCUUCAUAUCCUUGUAAAUCUUAGUACUACCUGGAUGUACAGUGAACUUAGACUCAUGAGCUUCUCGUAGUAACUUUUGUUUAAGGGCUUUGUUGUCCGGCACAUACAUACGUCCCCCUAACAUCAUUAUUUUAUGAUCACCCAUUCAAAAAAGAGUUUCACAUCCCGAUUCCAGUUUGAUUCUCACUUUUGACACCUCAUCAUCAUGUUGUUGUGCCUUUAAUAUUUUCUCUUGAUAUCCUGACUUCACCCUUAGUUGAGCCAUUAAGGAUCCUUCCAGACUCACAUCUAAUAUUGUCCCCAACCUCUUUAGCUCAAUCAUAGUUUCCUCAUUCCAAGUCGUUGGUCCACCCCUAAUCACCUUGUCUUUACGGCUGAGAGCAUCCGCGACUACAUUCGCUUUUCCUGGAUGGUAAUCUAUAUUAUAGUCAUAGUCUUUAAUUAAUUCUACCCAUCUCCGUUGUCGCAUAUUCAACUCCUUCUACGACAUCAGAUAUUUAAGGCUCUUAUGAUCCGUGAAAAUUUAGACUUGGGAUCCGUAUAAGUAAUGCCUCCAUACUCGUAAAGCAAAAACUACUGCUGCCAAUUCUAUGUCAUAAACUGGGUAAUUGACUUCAUGAGUCUUCAGUUGUCUCGAUGCAUAGGCAACUACUUUUCCAUGCUGCAUUAGAACACAACCUAGUCCUUUUCUUGAGGCAUCACUGUAGACUACAAAGCCUUCUGUUCCGGAUGGAAGGAUUAGCACGAGGGUAGUACUAAGCCUUCUCUUCAAUUCUUGAAAGCUCUCAUCGCACUCCUUUGACCACUCCCAUCUUAUGUUCUUCUUGGUGAGUUGUGUUAAUGGAGUUGCUAUCGUUGAAAACCCUUCGAUAAAUCUUCUAUAAUACCCUGCCAAUCCGAGAAAACUACAAAUUUCAGUUACCUUAGUAGGCCUUUCCCAUCUCAAAAUUGCUUCCACCUUUUGAGGGCCCACAAAAAUGCCUUUUGAAGACACUACAUGCCCCAAAAAGGUAACUUAUUUUAACCAGAAGUCACAUUUAUCCAACUUGGUAUACAACUAGCGGCUCCUCAGAGUCUGUAGUGUCUGUCUCAGGUGCUGUUCAUGCUUCUCAUAGGAUUUGGAGUAAAUCAAGAUGUCAUCGAUAUGAAUACAACAACAAACUUAUCAAGGUAUGGUUGGAAUACUCGGUUAAUUAAAUCCAUAAAAACUGCUCGAGCAUUAGUUAAUCCAAAGGGUAGCACCAAGAACCCAAAGUGAGUUCUGAAGGCAGUUUUUGGCACAUCUUGCCCCUUGAUUUGUAUUUGGUAGUAUCCUAAUCUUAAAUCUAUAUUUGAGAAUACUUUGGCACCCUCAACUGAUUGAAUAAAUCAUCUAUCCGCAGAAGUGGAUUUAUGUUCUUUACCGUCACUUUAUUCAGCUGAUAGUAAUCUAUGCAAAGCCUCAACGUUCCAUCUUUCUUCUUCACAAAUAAUACAGGUGCCCCCUAAGGUGAGUUGCUUGGUCGUAUGAACACUUUGUCUAAAAGCUCCUGUAAUUGAAUUUUCAACUCAUCCAAUUCUUUUAGGGCCAUUCUAUAUGGUGGUUGGGCUAUAGGAGACACCCCAGGCAAUAUAUCUAUGGUGAUUUCAACUUCUCUUUCUGGGGGCAGUCCUGGCAAUUCUUCCAGAAAUACGUCUAGAAAUUCCCUCAUAAUUGGAAUGUCAGAAAUUCUUAUUUUACCAUUUUUCAAAUUUAUCACAUAGGCAAGGUAUGAUGUAAAACCUUUCUUUAGUAGUUUUCUCGCAACCAUACUCGAGAUCAUAUUUGUAAAGUUGGAAAUUUUCUCACCCUUAAAGACCAUUGUUUCACCCUUAGCCCCUUGGAAGGUUACUAUUUUUGUAAAGCAGUCUAGAGGAGCCUUAUUUUUGCCCAACCAAUUCAUACCUAUAAUUAUAUCAAAAUCACUUAAUUCUAUGGGUAUUAAAUAUGCUUUUAGUUCACACCCAUUCAUGUUAAUUCCCACCCCUUCAAAUACAACAUUUGUUUCCACAGUUUCACCCAAAGGUGUCCGAAUAAUAAAUCCUUUCUCUACCCUUUUUGUUUCCUUACUCAAUUUGGCUACAUUUUUAUUUGCUAUAAAAGAGUGAGUGGCACCAGAAUCAAACAAAACAUGUAUUUGAUAGUCAUUCAUUUGCAGCAUACCUGCCACCACAUCUGAUGCUGCUCUGACAUCCUCCUGGGUCAUUUGGAAAACCCUUCCUUGAUCUCUUUCAUUUUGCACUCUGGGUCGUCUCUUAUUUGAGUUAGCUCCUGACUAAGUCGACCUUCUCGGUCUGUUUACUGUGAUAGACUGCUGAUGACUCUGACUUUGCUGCCUAUAUCUCUGAGAUUGUUUAGUGUUUAACUGGGGGCAUUCCCUUUUAAAGUGACCCUUCUCACCACAGUGAUAACAUCCUCUUCCCAAGUACUGACAGGCGUGCCUCCCUCAGUUUCGGCGGUGCGGUAGGCGGUCGGCCAAUGUCUUCAGUCGGUGGGCUAGAGGGACCGGCGGUCGGUGGGCUGGAGGGACCAACGCCAUUAAAUAUACAUCUUUUUUCCUUCUUUACUGCUGUAUGUUAGGCGGGGAAGAAAGGGGAACAAUGCCGUUCAAAACGGCACCGUUUAGCCCUUUUCUGUUUUUUUUUUUUUUGCAUGGGCUGGUUACUGUGCACAUAGUAACCGGGUUACUGUGUGUACAGUAACCAGAGAAUUAAUCUACGGGUUACUGCGCCAGUACUGCGCACAUAUUUUUUUUUUUUUUUUGUAUUUAUUAUUUUUUUAUGGGGACCCAAAAAUGGGUUACAACAGUUGCCCCCCUCUUUACAAUGCUUACGGAGCAAAGAUUUGUGCAUAGUAAGUGUUGUAAAGAAAAAAACAUUGGUCUUCCGAAACUGGUCGUCUCAAAAUUUGAUUGACCUAAAACUUGAAUCGGACCCAAAGUCCUGUGUAUGGUUGGGCUAAACUGAGAUUCCUUUCGCCAAUCCCCUUUAACCCGAAAAAAAGGAAAGAAUGUGAAGUGUGGUCUCAUUGUAAUGGGUGACCUACCCAGAAAAAUGUUGGUGAGGGCUCAAAGGCGCACUCAAAAGGAGGUAGGGUUAGAAAACGCACUACCUAAGGGAUGAGGGCUCAAAAGCGCACUCAAAAUGGAGGUAGGGUUAGAAAACGCACUACCAAAGGGAUGAGGGCUCAAAGGCGCACUCAAAAUGGAGGUGAGGGCUCAAAGACGCACUCAAAAGGAGUUGAGGGCUCAAAGACGCACUCAAAAGGAGUUGAGGGCUCAAAGGCGCACUCAAAAAGGAGGUGAGGGCUCAAAGGCGCACUCAAGAUGGAGUUGAGGGCUCAAAGGCGCACUCAAAGGAGGUAGGGUUAGAAAACGCACUACCUAAGGGAUGAGGGCUCAAAGGCGCACUCAAAAGGCGGUGAGGGCUCAAAGGCGCACUCAAAGGAGGUAGGGUUAUAAAACGCACUACCCAAGGAUGAGGGCUCAAAGGCGCACUCAAUAGGAGUGAGGGCUCAAAGGCGCACUCAAAAUGGAGGUAGGGUUAGAAAACGCACUACCUAAGGGAUGAGGGCUCAAAGGCGCACUCAAACGGAGGUAGGGUUAUAAAACGCACUACCUAAAAGAUGAUGUUGAAACAAUGAUUGUCAAUGUUGAAAAGCAAAUGCAUUAUGAUUGAUAUGCAUAUAUACUUACCUGAGAAAUAUAGGCCCCCAUUUCUUCAUGGUGUCUUUGUUUUCUCUCAAAAGUUGUAGUGUUGGUAGUAAACUUCGAUGGCUUUUCCACUUUUGCUUACUCGGGUUACAUAUUGUGAUCUUGACCUCUGGGAAGGGUUUGACGUCAUCAUACAUCUUUGUCCUUCACCCCAACAAGUAGAGUUACCAAUUUUGCCCGUCAUUUUCCUUAGAACAGGAAUCAUGGAGCCAGCCCUACCAUGUGUUUUUGAUUGCCCCCCAGCUUGAUCAUGCCCCCCAAGUGUUCAACUUGGGUUUAGUUUGGGGUGAGGAUAUGUGAAAGUAAGUUUGGGUUUUUUGUACAAUGAAAUAUUUUCAUGCAAAAUUUUUUGGAACUUCAAAGUUAUGCCAAUCACAAAAAUGAUUUUGAUAUUGGUUCAAAAUAAACUUGUUCUAAAAAUUCAAGUGAUUCCUACGGACAGGUUUCUUGAAGUGAUGAAAGCUUUUUGCUUUUGGUUUAAAGAUGAAGUGACAUCUGGUUGGUCACAAAAGGUUUAAAUUUCAAUUUGAGGGUUAUUGAGAACCGAAUUGAGUCAAAGCAUUUAUUUUAUUCGCAUGAAUAAUGAUUUGACUUGCACGAGAAAACACUGCAUAUCGAUCCAGAUUGCUUGCCUUUGAUCAGAAAGGGCUUUAUCAGGUAUGUAAUGUAGGCUUUGGCUAUUGGUUACGAAGAAAAUGGAUAUGUUGCAGGCUCAAAAAGGUGUUUAAGGGAUUUCAAGAUUAGGGAUCACUUGUGCUUGUUUCCUGACCUUUUGUCUUUUGGAUUUGUUGUUUUCAAAAUAGUCUUCAUGCCCCCCAGUGUCGGGUUUGGGCUUUUCUCUUUGUUUUCUUCGUUUUUGUUUGGUUGAGCACAAUCAUAUCAGUUGUUUGUAUGAGAAGCUCAAAUCUUUUAGAUCUUCUUUUCUUUUCUUACAUGAUCAAUUCCAGCACUCAUCUUCACUGCUUUGUCUGGAUGGUAAAAAUAACAAACUCUCUUAUUUUGCCCCCCAGUGUGGGGUGUGAUCCUAGUCAAGGUUAUUUCAAAAAAUAUUACUAGGCUCAAAAUGGGACUGCAAAGGAUAUUUUAGCCUUGUGAAAGGAUUAUCAAAGAUGGCCUUUCCUCAUCUCAAACUCAUGCAUUGAGGAUCGAUAGGUGUUGCUUUCAUGCGCGUAUGCAAAGUGAUUUAUUCAGUCAAAUAAAACUCAGCUUUUGAGUCACCUCAUAGUGUUGUUUGUCUUUAUUGUCUUUUUUUCUUUCAAGUUUUCUAGGUAUAUGUGUACCUAUUUAAGGAAUCACUUGAAUUUUCAAAAUGCAUUUGUUUUGGACAAAUAUCAACACGAUUUUUGUUUUUGUACUCACUUUGGAGGUCCCAAAAAAAAUCCUUGAAAACAUAUGAGAUUAAUGUAUGGGUUUGGAAGAAAGGAACACCAAAGGAUUCUUCAUGUUGUAGUGUUGUGAGCAAAGUUGCGCUCAAAAUGUUAUUUACAUAUAAUAACAACAAAGAAGAGUGUGAUGUGAACACAAGAAAACACAUGAUCUUAUUUCACAAGAGAAGCUCAUUAACAGAGAAAGUCUUAUUCAAAAGCAUUAACAAAAGGAAAUAACAAGGCAGGCUUCAUUCCUCUAUUUUGGCGAAUCUGUUCAUAGGCUAAACUCUUCUUAAAAGCUCUGCGUAGAGGACUCAAAGACAAUGCGGAACAACACCCCGGUCAAAAAUUCAAGCUAUCAUGCUGGACCAUUGAUGCUUUCCAAUUCCCCAAACAUUCCAUCCUAAUAUGCUUCAAGCAUGAUUAGGCAGCGGGUUCGUAUUCACAUUGGGGGUGUCUUCCAACUCUAUCCAACCAGCCUUGAUUAAUUGCAGAAGCUUUCUCUUGAAGGCGUUGCAGGUAUAGAUGCUAUGCCCAGUAAUACCGGCAUGGUAUUCACAUUUGAGUUCUGGCUUGUACCAAUUAGGAUAAGGUGGCUGCAGAGGUGUUAGAGGUUCUGGAGCUAUUUGCCCAAUGCUCAAUAGCUUUUGAUACAUCUCAUUCAGGGGUAAUGGUAGUGGAGGCAGUUGUUCUUGAACCCUUUGGAAAUUUCCAAUUUGGCUUUUGGCUUGAAAGUUUUGGGGUUUAGGUUUUUGGAUGUUGGCAAUUUGGGAUGGAGUAUGGUAAUUUUGGGAUGUAUUAUUUUUACCCAUGUAGCCAUCUUCAACAUGGUGAACCUCUUUUCUUUCGAAGCCUCUUUUCUCGGUUGGUGCAGAAAUUCUACCACUCUUGACACCUUGCUCUAUGCGUUCACACACUAUCACGGCAUCAGUGAAUUGUUGGGCUGAACUACCCAUCAUAUGUUCGUAAUAUGGUGCUUUGAGUGUGUUGGCAAAUAAAGAGACCAUCUCUUUGUCCAGAAGUGGGGGAUGUACUUGAGCAGCUAAUUCUCGCCAUCUUUGAGCAUAUUCCCUUAUGCUUUCUUUAUCCUUUUUCUCUAUAUUGGACAAACUGGUUCUGUCGGGCGCAAUGUCCAUGUUGUAUUUGUAUUGCUUGACGAAAGCAUCCACAAGAUUUUUCCAGUUGCGAAUUUUUGUGUUAUCCAAUCUCAUGUACCAACUCAAAGUUGCCCCACUUAAACUGUCUUGGAAAAAGUGCAUUAGUAGUUUUUCAUCAUGUACUACCUCAGCCAUUUUAUUGCAGUAGGACCUGAGAUGAGUCAUGGGGCAUUGUGUUCCACUGUAUUUGAUGAAUUCAGGAACACGAAAUUUCUUUGGGAUAACCACGUUUGGGACCAAACACAUCUCUGCUGCCCGUACCGGGUCAUAUAAGUCUACCCCUUCAAUGGCUUUGAGUCUGGCUUCCAGCGCCUCUAUCUUAGCUUGAUCAAUGCUAUCAGAUGACUUAGCCUUGUGGGACUCAUUAGCAGAUGCCUUCACAACUGUUGGGGAUGGUGCAGGUGUCGUUGACUGCACAAAUGUUGGAUUUUGCUGAGGUUCUUGACCAUGUUCGCUCAUUCUUUCCUCAGGCUGAACUGAAGUAGGAGCCGGAUCAAAGGUGAUCGGUUGAUUAGAAGGACCUUCAUCAGAGGUAUUUCUUAGUGUUUGCUUGAGUAAGCUAGUGAGGUGAGCCACACUUAUUUUCAGAGACUCCAACUCCUCGUGCAAAUAGGCAUCACGUUGAGCACGCUCUUCAUCUUCCAUGUUUCUUGCUCGAAGUCGGGUGUUGUAGACUUUUUGGGGACCUAUAUUUCAAUCUGACAUGUAUGCAUGUUAAAUGUAUGAACAUGUAAUCUAUAUGACGAACUCGCCCUUCGAGGGGUGACAUAUGGUCGCAACUCUUGUAUGAUGAAACAAGAAUCUUGAUUCUUGCACAAACUCUACAAUGAAAAUUUUCUGAGCGACGGUUAUUGUGUCACCCAUAAGUCUGGAGUUCAAGAAGGGCUUGCUCGGAUGCAAAACAAUGUGUACGGAGCAUACAUCCUAAAGGCAGGUUCUAAUAUUUUUAAGUGAGACAAAAGGUAGGUUUACUAUUUGGUCUCUAAAAAAGGACUCUCGUUGUCCCAGUGAUCGCCCUCGUGGAGGCAAUAUGGGGGCUUGUAGGCAGUGAGAUGGCACGUGUCCAACUAUUACCAGUCUAAGCACUCAACGAAGAGUUGGGGUUUACACAAACUUAAACCUUGACUAAAAGUCAUAAGGUAAGCUGCUAGUUCCCCCUAACCUGAAGCUUGUGUGUGCUUAAAAAAAAUUAACUAUGUGAUGCAUGAGAUAAAUAUGUACAAAAAUUAAAGCGCACAACUAAAUAUGAACAAAUAUAUAAAGAAAAUGCAUAUUUAAAAAUAAACACGCAAACCAAACAAUAAAACACAAUCAUCAACAAAAAACAAAGCUUAGUCACAAAGUCCCCAGUGGAGUCGCCAUUCUGUCGCACGUGUGCGCGGCGCGGCGAUCGUCCACCCUCAAGGAAAAAAUGGAAAAAUAUUUAUUCCUGGCAAAUAGGGAGAGAUAAGGAAUUCUUGUCUCUACAAGUGCAAAUAUGGACUGGGAGUCACCACCUAGUAUUCUGGUUACUAGGAACCCUAACUGGUCUUUAGAGAUCGGGUACGAAGACUGGUUGCGUAAAGGGAAGGUAUUAGCACCCCAACUACGCCCUACCUAAGGUAGGCUGCAUUGUUUUGUCUGAUAAAAUCUAAGGUCGUGUUGUGGUUUCUUAUUGUUCGGAAUACGCAUUACAUGUAAUGUCAUACCCCAGGUUCUAUUGUCCAAAAAAAAGAAUUAAAUAUCCGGAAUAUGCAUUACGUGUAAAGUCAUACCCCGGAUACUAAGAGAAACAAAAUAAAAUUUUUGUUGUUUUUGAAAUAUUGGCCAAUAUUCUCUUGACUUUAAUAAACUGGUUAUUAAAGCCAAAAUGCAUGCUAAAACAUUUUUUUUUGUGUAUGAAAAAAAUACAAUAUGAAUUUUUAGCUUUGAGACACUUGGCCGUAUGCACAAAAACAUUUUUUUUUCUUUUUUUAAUUUUUUGUAUUUUGUGGAAGUUUUUUUUUUUUUUACGAAAACCGGGUAUUUGAAAAAUCAGAUUUUUGUAUUUUUAACAACAUAAAAAAAUACCAUCAAAUAUUAAUCGAAAUGACAUAAAAAUUACACUAAAAAAAUUAUAAAAUACUGAAACAAAUAUUUUUGAUUUUUUUUCUUUGAAAUGGGCCGGAUCAGGCCCAAAUAUAUGGGUUGGGCCGAACCUGGCCCAAAGAAUGGGCUGGUCACUGUGCACAUAGUAACCGGGGGGUGCUGUACACACAGUGACCACAGAAUUAAUUAGCAAUGCACAGUAACCGGGGGUUACUGUGCACACAGUAAUGUGAAUUAAUUAGUGCACAGUAACUAGCUAAUUAAUUCUGCAGGACGUAAACGUUCUGCAUGAAUUGAAGCAAAAAAAAUGACGGGAAAGGUAGGACGUUACCUGGAGCUGUUGAUGCUGGCAGCAGCUGAUGCAGCAGGGGUGGCGGCGGCGGCGCUGGCGGUUCGCGGUGGCCGGUGGUUUUUCUUCUCUCUCUCUCCUCUGUUUUUUCCCGUUUUCUUCUCUGCCUCUUCCCUUCUUCUUCUCUGCCUUCUCUCCUCUCUUCUCACUCUAUUCUCCCUUCUGUUACCUCUUCUGUUCCCUCUCUCUGUCUGUCCUCCUUCCUCCUCUCUUCUCCUCCAUUUAUAGCCCGUGAGCAUGCGUUUUUUUUUUUUUCAUCGUGGGGUCAUGCGGCGGCUGGUCGGGCGUGGCUGUCCGGGCGUGCCUCCCUCAGUUUCGGCGGUGCGGUAGGCGGUCGGCCAAUGUCUUCAGUCGGUGGGCUAGAGGGACCGGCGGUCGGUGGGCUGGAGGGACCAACGCCAUUAAAUAUACAUCUUUUUUCCUUCUUUACUGCUGUAUGUUAGGCGGGGAAGAAAGGGGAACAGUGCCGUUCAAAACGGCACCGUUUAGCCCUUUUCUGUUUUUUUUUUUUGCAUGGGCUGGUUACUGUGCACAUAGUAACCGGGUUACUGUGUGUACAGUAACCAGAGAAUUAAUCUACGGGUUACUGCGCCAGUACUGCGCACAUAUUUUUUUUUUUUUUUUUUUGUAUUUAUUAUUUUUUUAUGGGGACCCAAAAAUGGGUUAUGGGUUACAACACCAAGUACUGACAGGUUUUCCACUUAUGACCUUCUCCUCGACAUAUAUAGCAUCGUCCAGGAGAAACCAUACAACUCCCGGGGUGUCUUUGUUCACAUUGAGCACAUCAAGGGUAGCCAAUUUCAAUAUGAUCAUUAUGCCCCUUUGUAGCUAUAGCCCUGGAAUGGGUUUGACCACUUCCUGACCUCCCACCGAUAUCCUUUUGGAAACUAGUUGACGUCCCCCCUUUCUUUUUGAAUUGAAGGAAUUGUUCGGCUCUACCUUUCUUUGGAAGUGGUGGCCUGCCUAAAAGUUCCAUAUCCUUUCGUUUUCCUGCACCCCUAUGACUCUAUUGGCCUUCUUCCAUACAAGCCUCCAAGGCCUGUGCUGCUUCAAUCAGUUCCCUUACUGUCCUGAAUUGCAAAGAAAUCAACCCCUGCUUCAAUUCUUGUCUGAAGCCAUCCCUUAACUUUUCUAUCAUGUGUUGUUCUGAUGGGACAUAAUGUGGUGCGAAUAGUGAGAGGUCAUGAAAUCAUCUCUCAUACUCAAGUACUGACAUUCCUCCUGUCUCAAGGCUAGGAAUUCUUGUUCCUUCAUCUUCCAAUGAUAUUUGGAGUAAUAGUGAUUCUCAAACUCUAUCUUGAAAUCAUCCUAGGAUAGGGUUUCUGUAGCCCUCCUCAACUGAACUGUCUCUCACCAAGUCAUAGCACCGUCUAAUAGUAAUUGAGUAGCACAAUCUACCCGUAAAUAAUGUGGUAUCUGAAUUUGAAUCAUGGUUUUUUCCACCUUUCUAAUCCACCUUCCCGCCACUUCAGCAUUAUAUUCAUCUAAGUAGGGUUCACAACCCAUUUCUCUCAUACUUUUCACCAAACGAACUAGUUGUACCACGUCAUUGGUAGCUAUAACUGCUUCUAAAACGGUUUGUAUGAUGGGUGCUGUUGCAAUAUCGCGGUCGCACAAAUUAAUUACCCUAGCUUCAAACACAACACACAAGAUAGUAUAGAGCAAGCAAGGGGUCAAUCCCAUGAGGAAGGUUCAAGUCAGAUUUUUAUGCUAGAUGAUAUGCAAUUUGGGGGGGGGGGGUUGGACGUUAUCUAGGCUAAAGCAAAAGAAAACAGAAAACUAUCAAACAAAUUUAAUAAAAUCAGAAAAUUAUCAAGAGAACAAACCUUAGUCGCAAGCACACAUCCACCUAUAGAAAUCAGAACUGAUCAUGGAAACGAAACAUCAAUUUAUAUUUUGAAUAUUUAUCUCUUCUUAACAUUGGUUAGUUAACGGAUCCGCCGUAUAACUAACGCUAACCAUCAAACAACCAUAGUGUCCGCACUAGUAAUUUAAUUCAAUGGCAGCCUUAAGAACUAGAUAAGUUUAUUAAUCAAGAAAACAUAAUUGUCCGUAGUCUAUUUUGAUUUGAUUGAAUGUUCUCCCUAAGAUUAAUAAUGUAGAUCCACCACAAUUAUUAAACUCAGUUGCUUCACAAGUUCAUAUACCAUAACUCCGGUUUUGAUAUCAAACUUAGCAAUAGAUUGUCUACAAUAAAAACUUAGAGUCCGCUCUAGCAAUUAAAAUAAACAAUCAUAGGAAAAAAAGCAUAGGAGAACAAACAUAUUCAUCAUAUAAACUGAAAAGAAAAGGUAAAAUAAAUCUCACAGUUCUUAAAAUCCGAAGGUUUCCAUGUCCUUGCAACCAAGAAAACGAGUUUAGCCUUGCAUGUUUGUUGAAUAACUAAUCAAAAAGAUGGAGGAAUGCAUGAUUUCGGGUUUUUAGAGAAGGGGGGGCAUUUUUCUCCUCUUGGCUAAUUGCCCCCUUCUCUUCUCUCAUUCUUUUUAUAUCAUAUGAAACCCUAGUCUCUAUUUUACAAAAUAAUCCUCUCUUAAGUAGACUAUUUACAUUUAAGUACUUCAAUAAUUAUUUUUCCUAAAAAAGAAGAAAUAGUCUAGCAUGAAAUAUUCAAGCUUUGACUUAGAGGAGCUAAAUUGCUAAAAUAAAAACUUGGAUAUUGGUUUAGAUGCUCCGGAACGUAAUUUGGACUCGUUUCUUCACGAAACCUAUUUGCUGGCAGAAUUCAGUUGUCAUCUUUGAAAAAUCAUAUCUACCUCAUAUGACAUCGUUUUUUGCUGAACUUUGGAGCGUUUAUAGGUCUUUGAGUCAGGAAUCCAACACAAUUUAGUUUUUAUCAAUUGGACUUUUGUAGCUUUAGAUAUUCAAGUCGGAAUGACCAAAGGUCAACACUGGCAGAUUGCGAGAUUUGACUUUGAAAGCUGCGAUUUCCAUGCUCUUCCUUAUUUUAUUGUCUUGCUUAGAUAUCCAGAAAGGUAUGGAUGUUAGCUUUUUAAUUCCACUAGAAUCACUUCAUUUUGACUUUUAGAGCUCAUGCUCUGCACAAAACAUCGAUUGAAGGUCAAAUAUGUCAAUUACCUCCAAUUUACUCCUUUUUGCAUCUUUCAUCCAAAAGUGCCUUCAAAACAUAAAACAAAGAAUAUCAAGGCAUUUUAUAUAUAAAACAUAUGCAAAACACUAGUUAAGUGUGGGUGAAACUAUCGAAUAAUAUGGUUGCAUCAGGUGCAGGUGGGGGUGCUGGCAUAGGAGUGGCAGCAUUAACCAUACCUUCCAUUACUGCUUUGACUAACUGGGCCAGGAACAUCGGAUCAACAUAAGAAACAUAUGGCCUUGCAGGUGUAGUCUAAGGGGGCUCCUCUACUCGUUCCCGUGGGGCUGAAAUGGUCGGUUGAACAUCCCCAGUUUGCCUUGAUGCCUGUCUAAUUUGAGGCCCCGUCGAUUCUUCAUGCCCUGCUUGAGUCGAUACUACCGAUGCAUGUGAAGCAUUAUCUUCCAAAGGGCUCUCUUCUUGCCCCUCAGAAAAGUCUAUAUCUCUAUUCCCCCUCCUUGUAGAGGAUAAAUCUAUUCUAAUCUCUUGACGGGUACGUACCAUCCUGCAAUAAAUUAAUGAACAUCAACAACCUCUUUUGAUUUCUUACCCGAACCUAUACCACGACUCUGAUACCAACUGUAACAGUCCAAAGUGUACGACUUGAUUAAUGUUAAAAGAUCCCAACAUAUCCUCUUUAUUUGAGGGUAGUUUUGUUUUUCAUUUCCAAAAAUUUAGCAGAGUUUCGUUUGCAUUUUGGACAUCUCAAGUUAUCGACUUUUAUCAAUUUACUCAAUCAACCCAUCAUCACAAGAUCUUAUAAUUCUGGACCUUAUAUCAAACCUCAAAAUUCCACACCUCAUACAAUCCACACAAUAUAUAUAUCCUACGAGCAAGUUCAAUAUGAACAUAGUCCGACACAUCAUAUCAUAAAAUUUAAAAGAAAAGGAAUACUAACAUGCAAAGAAAGUAUUUACAAUAUAAGUGUUCUUAAAUAUUUCAAAAGGGUUAAUUACAAGAUAACUAAAAUACUACAUGCUCAGCUAAACCUUUGUAAAUACAUCAAGGCAUACACAAAAGUAUACUACAUAAACAUGUUAAUUCCUUUUUGUUUUAAGUUAAAUAUUUACAUAAGCUUCACAAUGUAGAGUCCUAAACUAUUGAUCUUCCUGGAUAUUUGAUGGACCUGUUACAUAAAUAAACAUACCAUUAUGUUGAUAAAGAAUAUAUAUAUGCUCAUGUAAUGAAUACAAAUGAAGUAUUAACUUUCUAUCGGAUCCAUAAGAAUUCUAACAGAGAACUUAUAUUUUGCUUGUAAGUCUUUUAAACCCAAUUAACACUCAUUUGUACACUCUUAAUUUGAAUACUCUAAUUUACUUGCAUGAAAUGGGUGACCUUGCAAAGUUUAAUCUUGUAAUUCAUUUCCCGGCAUUCCUAUCACGGAUGCCAUUAGCCGAAGCUAAUCUUGUAAUUCAUAUCCCGGUAAUCCUAUCACGGAUGUCAUUAGCCGAAGCUAAUCUUGUAAAUCAUCUCCCGACAAUCCUAUCACGGAUGCCAUUAGCCGAAGUUAAUCUUGUAUUUACGCUAGACUUUAUUUACAUUGAACACGACAUUUAUUGUAAUUGCAUUCACCAGAAGAAUUUUAAAUUGUAUAAGAGCAAAUAGGAGGAAAAUCACGAACCUGCUUUGCUUGUCUCGCAACCUCCCCUAACAGAAGAUCCAAUCCUGGUUGCUCCUCCUGAAUCAUAAGGAAGUUUUUGGUUAUGAUUCCUUCAAGCCGAUACUAUAGAGAAUCCAUAUUCGUCCAUUACUUAUAUGUUACUUUCUAUGCAUGUUCAUUUCCUCAUAAUAUCAUACAUACAUAUAUCAUGUAUAUUUUCAGAGUUAGUCUCUCAAUGUGCAAGUGUUCGUAUGACACAAUUCUUUUAUAUUCUUAUAUAUAGUAUUCACGUGAAAGUCUACUAUUAGUGUCUAAUUUUCAACUAUUACUGUCCAAUUUUUAAUUGUUACUGUCCAACCGUUACAGUCUAAUUUUGAACUGUUACUGUCUAAUUUUCAACUAUUACUGUCCAACCGUUACUGUCUAAUUUUGAACUGUUACUGUCCAAACACUCAUCAAAUUUUUAACUAUAUCUAAAGUUCUAAAACUUCAUUUUAAGUGAGAUUAAUCUCGUUAGAAAGCUAAGACACGAGGCUACAAGUUCUCUGAAGGGAGGAGAACCCACUUUUGCCUCCAAGAUAGUCAAAAUUGCUCAUUAAAUAGUUAGUCGUACUGCCCUACAUAAUCAGUCACGACUCAGUCUCAGUUGGUAACCCAUAACUAGAGUUCUACAUCUCCAAAUUGAGCAAGACCAGUUUCCUUGGUUAGCUAACAUUCAAAUCUACAAUUUCUAUGAGAAACCCGAUCCUAUCCCCUCGUCCUCCUACUCAAAAUCUCAUCGAAUGUUAGGAGACAAGUCUAUCCAGGUUCGUCUCCCCCCUCCCCUUACACAAUACUUUCAUAAACUACAUACCACACACAUAAAUGAACUUAAUCUCAACAAUAAGUACUUUUUCCCCAAUUUAUGUCUAAGAACCCUAACCUAUGAUUCAAUAUCAAGGCAUCAAUUCUUUAUCGAAUUAAAAAAAAUAAAUUUUUUUUAAGAUCAUGUUUAGAAUACCUUACUCGGUACAAAUUACGAUUUUGAUCUUCAACCAGUAGAAGAUUUUCAACUCCCUCCUUUCUUUUCUUCUUGGUAAUCAUUUGCUCUCAAGUGUUUAUCCCAUCUAUAAGCUCUUAAUCUUGCAUGGGUUCUUGAAAUUUUAGUGUUUCUAUCUUGAUUUCUCAAGAAGGGGUAUAAAACUCCCUAUCUUCUCUCCUUAUGGUUCCUAUAGAUUUUUUUGGUGAGUAGAGAGUAUUGAUACUCUAUAUUUUCCUUUAUUUGCAUUUAGGCCCCCAUUUUUAUUUAAGUGUAUUAUUCUCUUCAAUUAAAUCCAACCCUUAACAGUACCAGGUUUAUUAUAAUGUCUCUAAUUAUUUCAUCCGGAAAUUUAUAUUCAAAAAUUUCUGAAUUUCUAUUUUUAUUUAAUGAUAUGCAUGAAUUUCUUCACUUUUACUUAUUUAUUAUAUAUAUAAUUUUUUUAUCCCGGGGUUUACAAAUAUAUUGGUGGAGAUGUGGGAUCCAUAGGUGUCAUUAUCUGGGGAGCCAUAUGUGGCGGCAUUAAUGGGGCCAUAGGUGCUGGCAUACCUUGGCCAAUGUUUGAUGUCUCACCAUGAUAUCCAAGAUUGUUCAUAAGAUAAUCUUUCAUAGAAUCCAUUUGUUGUUUCAUUUCAAAAAUAAAAUCAUCUCUUUUCUUUAUCCCGCUUUGUUUUUCUUUAUCUCUUUUUGCAAUGCUCGAUAAGAUGAAUUAGGAUAUGGUGACUUCACCGAGUAGGAAUGUGAUGAAGAACUUGUAUUCACUAUAGAUUUUGGCAUACGAGGUGCACAUUAUACCCUACCCUAUUGUAACUCCUCCUGAAGCCACACACCAAGCUGCUCCAUCAAAUGAAGGAUGAUUUUCCCGAUUAGUUCCAUACUUUGAAAUCAUCUCCUUAUCAUUUUCCUAAAAAUAAAAUACAUGCAAUAAUAAAUUCAUUUGAAUGUCAAAUAAUAUUUAAGUUAUAUAAAUAAAUAAAUAAAAUUACAUACAAUCACUUUUUUAGACUUGCUGUCUACAAAGAUGCUAGACUGCUUAGUACUCUGAUGCAAAGCUGAAAAGACAUCAUCUCAUGAAGGUUUUUUUUCUACCAAGUUGCUCUUGCUAGGAAUUAUGAAAGAACAUGUCCUUCAUGAACUCUCACAAGUCUCUCACCAUUUUAACGAUCUCUUGUAUUGUUCUGUGUAAUUCAACACCUUCGAUUCAGACCUAGAUUUCAGGUAGAAAUCUUGAUGUGAAAAACAAAAUUAGGGUUCUUUUUAUAUAUACCUUUACAGAUUUGUUUUGAAGUGAAAAUGGAACAUAAUUAUUCAGACUACUAAAAUUAUGGAACUAGUAAGGCCUUAAUGGCAUUGAACUAGACAUGGGAGAGAUUUAAAUGCAUGGUCCCUGCAUUCUUGAUUAUGUUUAAAAACGUCCUCGUCCCUUUUUACCUCACUUUUUCUAGUUUUGAUCAAGUCUUUCCAUUUCGUUAUGUUUCGUCUGGAAUGGCCGAGACAUUUCAUACGUAUUCAAAAAACAGAACAAUUUUCAUCUCAUUUCAAAUCUCGGUCCGUUCUGAAUUUUUUGGCUAAAUUUCAGCCGGAAUGUUUUGCUUUUAUUCCACAUAUUCCAUUCUAGUAUUGAAAAGCUAUUGAAUCAAAUUGAACCUGGUUCAAUUUAAUUAAUUAAACCACCCAAGUAUAAAAAAAAAAUUUAUUACUAUUUUCAAUAAAAAUGAUAUUAAAAAUAAUAUUAAAAAUUAUUAUUACUAUUUUCAUUUACAAUGAUAUUAAUUUUUUAAAAUUAGAUUUAUCACUAAUAUAUAUGGUUUAUAUUCAUGUUUUUUUUUUCAUAUUUAUACUAUGUAGGAAUUUGAGCAAAACAAGGGAUGCUUUAGAUCCCAUUAGUCUUGAUAACGUUGACUUAACUUUAUAUUUAAAAUAUUUGUGUUAAAACAUUUCUUUCAUAAUAUUUUGAUAUUUUGUUUAAGUUGAAUUACUUUAAGUUAAAGAUCUAUUUAAUUUUGAUUAUUUAGAAAUAUUUUAAAAUUUGAAAUUUUAUUUGUUUGACAUUGUGUUUGUAUUGCAUAAUUUAUAAUUAAUUUAUCUUGAAUUUUAAUGAUGUUUGUUGAAUAUGUAUAUAUGAACAAUAUAACUCCAAAACGGCAUGCCGAAACACUCUGAAACUGAAACAUUCCAUUCCAAUUAAAAAAAAACCCACCUACCGGAACAGAAUUGACAACCUUGGUUUUGAUUGUAUUUCCAAUUCAAAUCGUAAUUUAUAUGUAUGAAAAGAACUUUUUUUGCCAUCAUUUUUUUUUCUUCUGCGUUCCAUUAUUAUUUCUUUUCAAUUUUUAUAAUUUUUAUUGUAUAAUUCAAAUUUUGUUAGUGUUAUGAUGUUGUAGACUUCACGAUAAUAUUUAACAUCAUUAACAUGUAAUGAAGAUAAAAAUCAAACCUGCAAAGAUUAAAAUUAGUGCAAAAACAUGUAGAACAUUUUAAACACAAAACCAAGAAUACGUAACUUAAUUGAACAAUUAAGAGUUGGAAUACCUGAAUUUUAAUCCCUUGUCCUAAAAAAAUAAAUAAAAAGUGGAAUUAGGGGUAGCAAUAGAUAACUAACAGAGUUUUAUAUCAGGGAUGAUAAUUUAAUCUGAACUCGAUAGAUACCAACCUGAUUUGAAUGAAUGGAUGAAUAUUUUUUGUACUUGAUGGAUAAUGGAUAGAGUAUGGAUGUUGUGAAACACGACCUGAAACCUAUCCAAACCUAAAGUGGAAUAUAUUUGUAUAUUAUAUAAGUAUAUUUGUAAAAUACUUAGAUUUUUUAAUAGAAUAUGAUACAUACAUAUCUUGGUAUUGACAUAAUACACACUUAUAUAUAAACUAUUUUAUUUUUUAUUGAUUAAUAAAUAAUAGUAGAUAAUAAAUAACUAUUUGAUACCUGAAAUCCGAUGGAUAAUGAGUAGAGUAUGGAUAUCAAGAAAUCCAACCCGCGAGUAUGCAUUGUCAUCCCUGCUUUAUACUAUCUAUACCCGAAUUCAAAUCUAAAAUAACUACUCGAGCCUGAACGGGUAUGGGUUUUUGAUACCCGAACUUGAAUGCUAUAUUUUACAGCUAUUAGUACAUAAUUAGCUUGCCAUACAUGUAAUUUUCUCAAACUUUAAUGUUAUUUAUUUAUUUCAGGGCAGGUUCGGGGAGAUCAAUAUCCAUACUCUACGCGUACCUGACUUUUUGCAUUUGAAUUUUACUCGAAACUCGAUUGAGUCUAAAAAUUUUCUAUUUGAAUCGAUUCGAGUUAGUAUUCAUAGGUAAAACUGUCAUCAUAAGUAUAAUCCAAAUACCAUAAUCUUUGGCAAUGAUAUGCUUUGCUAUUAGUUCUACCAUGACAACUAACAAAACUAUCACACCCAACAAAAAAAGCUAUGAAAUCCUGUUAAAGAAUUAUCUCAAUCCAAUAAUUUAAGUUGUUAUGUAAGGUUCCAAGAUAUAAUUUAUAUUAUUCUCUAACAUCCCCCCUCAAGUGAAAGUCAUUUGGACUCGAAACUUGCACAAACUCAUAUUAUACUGUGCUUACUUUUAUAGAAUAAAUAGGAAUGGUAAGAUUCGAAUUUAUAAUUACUUGAUCAUCAAGACUCUGAUAACAUGUCAAAUAAUCAUUUCAACCUAAUUACUUAAAUUGUUAGAUAAAAUUUCUAAAUAAAUCUGAUAUUAUUCUAUAAUAAAUCUGAUAUUAUUUGUGUAAGGGCAUAUUAGUGCCCUCACAGAGAAGCUAAGUAGAGUGGCGAGAACCGGACGACGGAAAGAGUUGGAAGAAAAAAGGCUAGAAGCUAGAUGCUAGAGCAUGAAGCUAUGGACCAAUCUAUGAACUUUUAAGAGCAAGUGGAGACGAACAAUUCUAUCGGAGAACCCCCAAGUUUCAGCUACGCAGAGCAAGUUGUUGUUUGGAGCCCCUUCUACUUUAUAAAUUCUGAAGAGGCAAGAAAAAGAAGACUUUCAUCUUUUUUCGAGAGACAGAAGGCAUGCUAAUGAAACUAGGGGUGGGGGAGUUUGUAGGUGAAGACCACAGAUGAAGCACACACGGGGAAGGAAGAAUUAGAGCUUCGUGACAAACCUAAGAUUUUUGAAUUGUUCUCUUUCUUUUCAUGGUCAUGCAGCAGAUUAUCCUACGUAAACUCACCAUCACCACAAACAAGGAAGAGAUAAGAGAGCUGUUAGUCAGCAAAAUCUGCUGCAACUUGGUCUCCCUUGUUCUAUAAAUGGCUGCUGAUGUCGAGACUCAAAAAUCACUUCAAUUUCAAGAUCAAGAUUGAGUUUAUACACUAAUUCUUGCAUUAAUAUCACUACUACUGCCAUUGAGACCAUGGCCUACAAGACAUUUCUCUUUGUUUCUCUCGUGAUUGCUGCAAUAUUGGCAGCCCCAGUUGCUGAAGCUCAGCUUGGGCUUAUUGGCGGUCUUCUGGGUUUGAUCCGCAUCCAAGGGACUCUAUUUUGCACUGCCGAUGGCAAUAUUGGUGCUAAUGGCACAGCAACCCCUGUUUUCCCUAGUAUGCUUGCCCUGAUUCCUCUUCCUUUUCUUUUUUUUUUUCUUUUUUUUUUCUUUUGAUCGAUAGUAAAGUAUCCUCGGACCAGAUUGAUUGUCAUGAUUACAUAGUUACCAUUCAUCACAUACGACAUCGUCGAAUGCAAUUUGACUUUGUUCUUCUUCUUAUCUUGCUUAUAAAGUUGUAAUUACAGUAACGGGUUUUUUCUUGCAGAUGCUCUCGUGCAGUUGCAAUGUGGAGGAAAUGUGGUUUCUACAUCAACCACCAAUGGAUCUGGGAUGUUUUCUAUUUUGUUGGAUCCUCUAAAUUAUAUUCUUUCCUCGGUAUUGAGCGACUGCAACCUGAAGGUCGAUACACCGCUGAUCAGCUGCAACUCGAGUCUCCCUGCUGUCGGUGGCCUCCUAUCACCCUUACGGUUCAUCGGGAACACUGCUCUAGGAGCCCUCCUGAGUGUUGCAAACAUCAUCCCUGCCGGAUUCCGAUUCGUGCCUUUAAAUUAAGGAGACCACUGUAGCUGAAGGCGGCAUUAUUAUUAUUAUUAGUAUGGCCAUUGCUAUGUACUACUUUAUAUGAAUAAGGCCGUUGUAUUAUUUGUGUGUACUGUUUAUUGUUUUUUCUUUCUUCC
Molecule: long non-coding RNA, 63324 nt
Filed under: Populus tremula
Lineage: Eukaryota; Viridiplantae; Streptophyta; Magnoliopsida; Malpighiales; Salicaceae
Description: long non-coding RNA (PTRE_LNC000543)
Rfam family: MIR2912 microRNA precursor family (bases 26905-27035)
Source: RNAcentral